This 77702-nucleotide long non-coding RNA is filed under the name Sorghum bicolor (sorghum). The record is from RNAcentral. Lineage: Eukaryota; Viridiplantae; Streptophyta; Magnoliopsida; Poales; Poaceae.
CAGGUAAACUGUGCAAUUAGUUUUUAUUUUGUCUAUAUUUAAUGUUUCAUGCAUGUGUCUGAAAGAUUCGAUGUGACGGUGAAUUAAAAUUUUUUUUUCUUUUCUUGGUGAAGUAAACAAGGCCCCAGUUGUUGGUUCGAGACUUUACGACUUCCGGAUACGACUCUCCAAUGUCUGAUGAGAUGCGCACCUCGUUGUCCUCUGCCACCGCAUGAUCGACCAGGCCUUGUUUAGAUGUGUUUAUUUUAGAUUUUGGUACUGUAGUAUUUUUAUUUGUUUGUGUCAAAUAUUAAUCAAUUAUGGACUAACUCAGGUCAAAAUAUUUGUCUCGUGAUUUACUGUCAAACUGUAUAAUUAGUUUUUUGUUUUUAUUUUGAUGCGAUGGAGAAUCUUUUAGGGGUGAACUAAAUAAGGCCCGUUCACAAGGAUGGUGAUGGCCAUGGUGAAAUCGUCCAGUUCAACUAGAUGAUGCCCCAUUGUCAAAAAAAAAGAAGAUGCCCGGAAGCAGCUUUGGCCAAGUUGAGCGGUAGAGGAUGUGCGGUUGUUGUAAAUAUGAAAAAAAAUAUUAUAUUUGUCAUUAUAUCAAGUUUUAUUAUUUAAUUUAUUUGUCUACGCCAUCUUUCGAACAACGAUGAAAUAUAAGUGUGCAAUGGAGAAUCUCGAACAGAAAUGUUCACCAGCCCAAUGUUUUGUUUUUAAUAACAUUGCAGGUAUAUGAUUUCAUAAAGUUCUGAUAGCAAGAAUCAGUAUUAUGUAAUUUACGGUGUCAAAUGUGCACACCUCUGACUUUACCAUCCUGCUUUUUUACCAACACUGCCUAACCUUUUUUUUUAAAAAAAACAACCUUUUUUGGUGCACUACGACAAACCAUACUAUCGCUGCUGCAAGACUUUGUAUGCCUAGUUAAUUUAUAAUUAAACAAUAUUUGUCACAUACAAGCAAAGUGCUACAAUUGCCGUUUUUCAAAAAAAUUUGGAACUAAACAAGACUUUAAUUGAUUUUGGAUGAAAAUGAUCUUUAUAUAAUACAAAUUUAAAGCUUUAAACAAGAUUUAACUUUGUAUUUUGUUUUUUUCAUUUGAGGUUAUUAAUAUGCUCAAAAAAGAUAAUAUAAAGUUUCAACUAACUAUUAAUUAUGUAUAAGUGUUUGUCACUUUAGAAAAUUCGUAUGGUGCCAAAUAAAGAUAUCUCAAUGAGAUUUAUAAAUUUAUAAUUUUGAGUUUUUACCUUAGAGAUCAUUAAAAUGCUCAAAAAUAUAAGAGCUUGUAUACGAUUAAUACGAUGCUGAAACUUUAUAUUAAUUUUUUGAGUAUUUUAGUGAUCUUAAAUUGAAAAACUUAAAACUAUAAAUUUAUAGAUCCUGUUAAUAUCUACAACUUUCAUAUAAAAGGUAUCUCUUUGUGGUACCAUAUAAGAAAGAUAUGAUUUUUCCAAAGCGAUAAGCGAUAAGCGUUUGUAUGCGAUUAAUAAAAAGCUGAAACUUUAUAUUAUUUUUUUUAGCAUCUUAACGACCUUAAAUGAAAAGGCUUAAAACUAUAAAGUUAUAGAUCUGGUGUGUUACAAUUUUCAUAUAAUCGUUUGAAAAAUAUAUUUUUUCUAAGUUGUGUCACAUUAGCGAGUCGCCAAGUGGCAGUCUUGCCGCGCUGACAUGUAUGGUGUUGCAGUGUGGCGCUGACAUGUAUGGCGUGGCAGUGUGGUUUUGCCGCACCGUCGUGCAUGGUAUGACCAAAAGAGUUAGUUUAAAAAAAUAUAUAUGGUUUUAGAUUUAAAAAUAGUGUUAAAAAAAUCACCAUCACUACCUACAUCAUGCUCCUUUACCAUCUCACACAUCAGUAAAUAGUAAUUUCAGUCAUGUCUUUUCAAGCUUCUAUUUGGGCAUUUUGACAAUCUAUAUACAACAUGGUUGGUCCUAUGCCAUAGAUUAUGAACCCCAUAUAUUUUUCGGUAUUACAAAAAUGCAUAAUUGAAGUACAGUUUACUCAUUUGGUUGUCUGCUUAAGCAAAGGCUUGUAUAGUGCUCAAGCCUCAAAGCGGCUCAGUGCUGCAUUAGCUAAUACGCUAGAUUUUUUUAGUAUUAGACAAUGCAGGAAUAUUCUCAUUCCCAUACUUACCAGAAAUAUGAGAUCUCAACUCUACUAGAAUCUUAAUUCAACCUUGAGGGCUAAAACUAAACCCUCAAGAAAAUUGCUUUUUCAUUGAUGGUGCAAGUGUCCAUUAUUCUGUAUGUGCAUCGGUUUAUGUUUCAUCAAGUUACUUUUUUACACGAGUGCGCUGAGUUGUAUUGUAUAGUGUUGUGCUGUAUGCUUCUUCAUCCUAUUAAGCCUAUUCGUUUCUCUUUUCAACCGUAUUUUUUCUACCAGCCGUGUUUGUCUCGUGCUUAUACACGUUGUGGCUCUCUUCUUGGCCAACCCACGCGUGUCUACGUUUUAUUUUACUGCGGUAUCUCUUGCACAAGCACCCAAGUAGAGUAUUACAUUUCCUGUUACAAGGUGAUACUCCAUUUUUUCUUUUAUAAGUGACAAUCAGGCCUUGUUUAGAUACACCCAAAAUUCUAAAAGUUUAUAAAAUUUUCCAUCACAUCGAAUCUUUGGACACAUGUAUGGAACAUUAAACAUAAAUAAAAAAUAACUAAUUGCACAAUUUACAUGUAAAUCACGAAGCGAAUCUUUUAAGCCUAGUUAGUCAAUGGUUGGACAAUGUUUGUCAAAUACAAACAAAAAUGCUAUAGUAUUAAACUUCAAAAAAAAAUGCAUCUAAACAAGACCUCAGCCUACAAGAUGUAAACUUUGUUAAAAAAACAACAUCAUUCGAUUCGUGUUUAUAGAAGCACUCUGCCAUUGGUUAUAAUUUAGUAGGAAAAAGUCUACGUACCUCUCUCAAACUAUAGUGGACUAUUAAAUAACCCCGAAUUGGUUUUGUAUGGCGGUUGUCUUUUUCUUUUUUAUUUAUUUCCGCUAAAUAUUUUAAAAAAUCAUAGUAAAUCACAGAAAAAUCAUAAAAUAAAAAAUCUAAUUUUGUUGGACUCCACAUGAAUCGAUCUACACAGUGAACAUAUAAUACUAGUACAAUGCCCGUGCUAACGCUACGGCUAUAUCUGGGAAUGUUAUUAAACAAAAUCAAUUCCAAUCAGGAAUGUUUGUUUCUAACUAUUCUAUGGUCAUCUCAGCUAUUCUCUUCGUUCUUGCAUGUUCAUUUUCUCCAACGAGUGUUAGAAUAUCUGUGUAGAGUACCAUUUUUAUGAGGUCAGUCAUAGUAGUAGAGAUAUUAACAAAAAAAAAGAAACUUGGUGACAUAAGAAGCAUGAAGUUCUAUAUUUGACAUUUACUGCUGCACAAAGGUAGUAUACUUUCUGUCGUGGUUUCUAUGACAAGGCCACCAUGGCUAUGCUCUCCGCAGUUGCAAUUGCUUCAGUAUUAUCAUCGUUCAAUAUAAUUUGUGAUUUUUGGUCCAUCUGCAUUAUCUUUUUUGUUACAGUAAAGAUUAAGAUAAAUUGGCUCUUUCACAUAAAUAAAAAACAUAUUAUGUAGCUGAUAUUUACCGCUAGCCAUAGAUAUUCUACUUCCUAUCAUGGUUGUCGUGGUACUGCCACCAUGGCUAUGAUCCCCAUCUGCAGCUGGUUGGAUAUUUUCCUUGUUUACAAAAAAUAGGCUAAAAGUGAGAAUUCAAAGUGAGACACUGCAAAUAGGAUCAAUGUGAGAAUUCAGUAUAUUUAAUUAGAAAAUUUCUAACAACUAUAAUUUAGAUCUUUGAAGGUUACCUUGGGUUUAGCGGCUUUUAUUUCAUGCCAUGGUUGUGCCUGAUCCUCUCUCUAGUCUACCUAUAUGAUCAGCACAAGAAACAAAAAUGACGUCACAAAAUGUCCUCUUUUGAAGUUCCAGGGCAAUCUCAUGUUGUUAAAACUGUAAUGAGAAAUUAGAUGAUGCGGCUUUAGGGGCUUAAAUUUAUUCAUGCAGAAACGUUCUUUUUUGUUUAAAGGCAGCGAACAGAAGAACGAAAGAAAAAAAAUGCAGAACGCACACAUGGAUCACCUGUUGAGCUACUGCUUCCUUUCAUCAGCUUUUUUAUUCUUCAUUAGUAGAAUGACAAUCCGAUACCUUAGUCUUCUUGUAAUUCUUCUCAUUCAGCUAGGAUAGUGCCGUAGUGAAAAGGAAAUCAAGUACCGUAGCGAGCAGCAGUGCAGCAUCAGAUUAAAUUCGUUUUCUGAAUGAAUUGCUCACCUGUAUUUUUGGCUUUGCUCUGGCCAGGAACUGCCCUCAUCCCCGCGAUCCGUUCUGGCAAGCCUUGUGCAGGCAUGUACGAAAAUGGAUCGCGAUCGGCAGUGCAACCGUUAGGGUUCUCGAAGACCGCGUGCCGUCGUGGUGGAUGUUCUUCCACUUCGAUCCGCGGCAGUUGCUCGCCGACGCCAACAACAGCUCAAACCUUCAUAUCAGUCUACUCGUUCUAGCCGCCGCUGAACCCCAGCGCGUUUGGGGUAGAUGUGAGGACGAACCUGACCACGCGUUUGCGGCGACAUGCCCCUGCCCUUGACCUCCGUCUACGGCGCAAUCACGGCGUGCUGGUCCAGGAUCUACGCGUGGCCAGGUGGCGGAGUAGCACGCCCGCCUCAAGGACGAGCAGCCUAAGGUACCGGAUCAAGAGGAAGCCAAGCGUCGUGACCACGGCCAGGUGCAAAACCGCGUCGACCACCGCCCGUGGCAGAGGAGGCCUGCGUGGAUCGGUAGCACGCGGAGGUGCCGGCCGCCCGACGGUCACCGCGAUCUCCCUAGCUACGGUUUUAUUUUAGCGAUACAUAUAAAAAUUACAUGUGCUGAGUCGUUGAUCUUGCAGGUGGAAUUUGUCUGGAGAAGAUUUCAAUUAUAGUAGAGAUAGAGAUAGUGUAUAUCUAAAUGCAUAGCAAAAACCUAAAAGAUAAAAUGUCUUAUAAUUUGGAAUUGUGGGAGUAAUAAAAUUGAGGUUGCAGAAACAAGUCGUCAGGGAACAAUAACCAACAUAGUAAAUUAAACAAAGUAUUUUUCCAGCAAGAACUAUGGAGAAAUUUUGCAGCCUGACAAAAAUAAGCAAUGCAAUUACCGAGUUGAGUAUUCAAAUACAGCAGAAUUACUGCUAUGAAGGAUCUGAUUAUUAGUGCAAAAAAGACCUCCAGCUCGACUCAUGCCUGUUCAGAAACUGGUGACCACACCGUCGUCACCGGUGAUUCCAUCGGUGCCGGGAAGACGGCGAGUGCACCGCACCAACACCGUUCCCCUUCCUAUAGGGUUUGCUGCACAACACCACCGUCGCCAUCGUUCUCCUGCUGCUUCUGUCAUCAACAGUGGUGCCUCUCCAUCCAUGAUCACUACUUGUCCGCACAACUGUCCUCGGUUGUUCUGGUCGAUGAUCAUGGUGUUGCGGUGAAUUAUGUUGCCCACAACGUCGGUGCACCAUAUCUAUAAUGGUUUGUAGCUUUGCUCGCUUUGCAGACGGCACCCAUGGCUUCCAUGUCGGCAUGGGAGUCGUCUUGAACCGCCAACUUGACAUCACCAUUGUCUGCAAUCUAGCCAUCGUGUACCUCUCUUUCCAGCUCAUCAAUGGCAUGUCCUCGUUGGUGAAGUACGGUGGUUCCUUGUUGGAGAAGAUCGGUGGUGAUCUGUAUUCGACACGUUGCUGACGAUGGGAGUUCAGAGAUCUGAUGGACUCGUACCUGGCCUUCCAGAGCACGGCGUCGUGGUCGGCGACGAGGCACCUCAGCUCCUUGCUAGCGCACUCCACCGUCGCGACGUAGUCGGCGACGUGGAGCUGAGCCUACAUAGGAUCACCAUCUGUAGGUCGACGGGAAGACACACGAAGCUAGGCAACACCGGCACGUCGCUUUGGUGGCAGAUGGAGAGAAAGAGGCGGCGGCACAGCUGAUCUGUGAAAAGCUUCCAGAGCCACGGUGCGCCGCCAUUGGCGUCGUCAUCCGGCGGCGACGGCGACGACAUCGUCAGUGCGCGAGCCGCGUCGUCCAUGCCGCACGAGAGGACGGGCGCGAAAGCCGCCAGCGGCAGCCGCUCCCUUCGAGCGUUCAGAUGGCGUCCGUUGCUGUCGACGUAGCGUCGACAGUGAUCUUGCCGCGGCCGCCCUCGCGGUGGGCCAACUGCGGCACCGAGUAGCGGCUGGAUACAGACCAAGGCGUCGUCUCCGGCGCGUCGCACGGCAGGAAGCCAGAGGAGAGGAAAGCGGCAUCGCCCAUGAUGCACAGGCGGCCGAAGAGGUCCUCGGCGUCCCAGUGGGCGGCGUUGGUGACCUUGUUGAGGGGCCAGGACUUGUUGGCGGCUGCCAUCGCCGUUGCCCGUUGGUACACAGAUGCGAUCCUGGAGGAGGCCGGCAGGAUGACGGACGUGCGUGUGUUGCGGCCUUUUUGUGAUUGACGGAGGUGUGCGUGUGUAAGGUUGUGAUCAUACUUCUAAUCUGGACCGUCAAAUCUGUAGGACAUGUGCUGUGAGUCGUUGAUCUUGCAGGUGGGAUUUGCCUAGAGAAGAUUUCAAUUAUAGUAGAGAUGGUAUGUUUUAGUACAAAAUUUUUAUUAUAACUUUAAAUUUAUGAACUAUUCCAAUUAAUUAAACAUAGAUCUAAAGCUAUAGUAAAAAAUUUAUACUAAACUAUAGCAAAUUAUAUGUUCACUAUGUAGAUCGACUCACGUAGAGUCCAAUAAAGAUUCAGUGAAAAUAAAUAAAAAAAUAAAGAUAAAAUCACCAUCACUGUAGCAAAACUAGCGUCGAAAACCGCUCGAGGGAGUUAUUUGACCGGUUUUAUAAAAUUCAAGAGGUACAAAAUCUAGUUUUAUAGUUGGAGUGAAGUAAUCCACCCUGUAUAGUUGAGGGGGUUACGUAGACUUUUUUCUAAUUUCAUAGCUAAAAAUUAUAGUCCAAUAAAUUUCCAGAGUACCUAAAUUUUGGGAGUAAACCAUAGUAGGACGAGUAAAGAAUAGAUCCCUGGAACAUGCAUAAUUUGCAACUGGGCUAGCUACGUUUGGAUUUAAGAAGCUGUAGAUCACAUUUGCCAUACAAAGUUGCAUCGCACAAUAAUGACAGGAUAGUUCUUACAAUUUCGUGAUCUCAUGUAACCAUACAGCAUAACCUUGAAAUGUUGGAAAAAGUGGUGCUUGAAGCAUCUCUUGCUGCCCUCACCUUGCCGUCGAUGAGCGAGCAGUGAUGGAAGAAUGAUACGUUGUGCUCCUUUGCUUCCGAUAAGAAGAAUAUACAUCAUCAUACUGGCUCACCUCAUUUGGAUCGGCAGAAGCUCCGAGACCCAACCGACCACUGGACCCAGGUUUACUGUCAAUGCUACCAUCAGCACGCAUCCCUGUCUCAGGGUUUGUGACAAGCAGAUUCGGUGGGGGAGGAAUGCAAGCGCCUCCCUUUCGGGCAGGAAGUUCCCUCUCGUAGUCAUCGUAGUCACCGGGCUCGCUUUGUCUCAUUGGACCUUCUGAUGGGUUUACCUCCCCAAUAUCACUGAAGAACUUCGAUACACGCUCAAGGAUCUCAGACUCUGGGACGGUUGAUGGAGGGAUGGUUGUGGGGAUGUCAAGCGGGCUUAAGGGAGAGUAAGGCACUCCACUACCUAUUUGCAUCUUCCGAACCAUUCCGGGAAUGAGGCCAGGGGGGAAGAGUGGAUAAGGAGGUGGAUUCGAAUCAUUUGUAGGAGCAGUGCUUUGAGGAGCCACAGAGGGAAUUAACGAUGGUUGCACUGGCAAAGAUGCUGCAAAAGUAGUUUGGCCUACAGGAGGAUAAACACCAGCUGGAAGUUGGUUUGCUGGAAAUUGUGCAGAGGGAACAGAUUGGGUUGCACCAGCAACAGGAUGGAUUGCAUUAUCCUUCUCUGGAGGUUCCGAGGACCAUUUUGAGCGCAGUGGUGCUGAUCCUGCAAAAAUAUCUAGCAGCUUUUAGGUUUGCUCCCCAAAAAAGUAAAAUGGGCAUUACAUUAAAAAAGCUAUUCCAAAUAGACAUUGUAACACUAGAGAGUCUAACGAUAGAAUGAUUUAACUGAGAAGAAACAUACGUAAGCAGCCAGAGAAUAAAGUUCUCUAAUUAGAUGAUGGGCCAGAUAGGUUUCCAGGAACGAAUUUUAGAAAGUUACGAAUCAUUCUAAAUAAUGGCUAGAACAUAUAGCAGCUACUGCAGUCCAGAGCUACUAUUGCAGAAAAUUUCAGGGAUCAACAUAUCAUGAUCACAGCUAUGUGAGUUGAUGAAUCAAAUGAAGAAAAAUGGUAAUCAUGUGGAACUCAUAGGUCAAGUACCGAAAGAAUACAAAAUAGCGUCCUUAUUUAAAAGCUAGCAUCAUCAUCAGAUAACAAAAAAAAGGAGAUACCUGAAAAGGUCGAGGGAUCUGGCGAAACAUGUCGUGGCACCAAAGGAUAAGGCAAGGCACCUUUCAUCUCUCUUUCAAAAUUAGCAAUUGUUUCCUGGUCGUAAACUUCCUUUGAACCCCAAAACUGAAGGAUUUUCUCAAUGCGAGUCUGGUUGUCAUCUUUACUUUGUGAAUUAUUGUAAACCCUUGCAAGCAUGGAACCCAGUACGGAUUUAAAAGCAAUAGCCUCAUUGUCAAGGUCCCGAAUAUUAGUUCGCCUUUGUAAGCUGUAGAAUGUCAAACAAAUUCAGAAAUCAGUGAUGCAGUUACAAGUCAUGUGCACAUUGAAAUUCUCAGAAGCUAGAUUUGAUGGUCAUGCAUUAGCAGCUUUUUGAGAAAAGGUGUGUUAAAUCUCAUUCUGGUACAGUCCGGAACAACUGGAUUACCUCAGACCACCGCAACAGAGGUCAAAUCCAGUACUGGUCAUGGUUCUGAAUUUCGGCUGUACCAGGCGAAAUCUAGCAUUCCGUGGAUGCCAGUACCAGUUGAUAACAAAGGUUCACACCAGCCGGCAUAAGACUAUGAGGGAUUUUCUCUCAUUUUGCUACGCACAGGUAUAUUUGCUAGUUGACAAUAAUUAUAAGCUAAUAAUUACGAAUAAACAUAAAUGUAUUUACAGAAUGGUACAUCGUACACAGAUAUUGUCUGGUACCGAAACAUUCUGUCCCAAUUUGUCCAGCAGAAAGGCAUCCGGAAUGGUAUCCAUAAGCUUGUCAGGGACCCUCCAAACAAAAGGAUGUAUGCAUUUGGUACAACAGAAUAUCGUUUAGAAAAGCAUAUCACAGCUUCAACUGGGUGCUACUUGCUAUUUUUAUAGCACUGCAGUUUGUAAUGGACCAAAAAAUGGUAACAAACUGGGGAGUACCACUUUCAUCCGCAUGAGAAAAGGGUCCUGAAUUACUAGAUAUAUCAUAUAUGAUCUCUUAUCAUUAUGAAACAAAGCACCUGGGUAUUUUUCUAUGUUUAUCGAUUUUAUAAUCUGUCAAAAGACAAAAGUAUGUUUGCUUUUGAAGGCCUUCUAUUUGCCAAGAAGUAAUUAUCUUCCAAAUUCCAAUGUUAAAAUGUUGGCCUUAGCAAAGUUUAGUAGUGUUUCAAAUGAAUUAGGGUGAACUAAGAUUGCAUCAAGUACUCCCAAUUUGGUGAGUGCUUAUAGUGUGGAUACUGGAAAUAUGAAUUAGUCACUCUACAAGCUACUGCACUACAGCAAUGAGAUAUGAAAACAAUAUAUAUGCUAAUUAGAUGACACUUCAUGCACUGGUAUGUCAGUCAGCAUGAUAACUGAAGUAUUCAUCAAAAGGAACAUAAGGACAAUUUCUAAACUCAAGAACUACAACUAAAAAAGAAAAGGCAUAACGUAAGCAGUCCUAUUUUAAUAAAGAUAGGAAACAGAUCGAGCCAUACCUUUCAAAAAGAAUAUCGUUCACUAGGAAGAUUAUGUGCAGCUGCCGCUCUGAAUCCUCCAACACAAAUACUCUCUCCUUAAGAGCUUCAGCCAGAGCCGGCGUAAAUGGCAAUCUUUGCAUAAACCAUGACUUUGCUCCCUUUAUUGAUUCCUUAGUGCCAUUAAGAUUGUUAAGCACAUCUUGCAGCUCAGCAGCAACAUCAGCAGGGAGCGCCCCAGACAGUCCCUUGAACGGUUGUGCCGCAGCUUCAUAGUCCCCAUGGCCGUGAGCAGCAGCAAACUGCUGGUGCUGAUCAUAGAAUGGAGGGUACCCCGGCUGGUGAAUCGGCGGCCCCCUCAUCAUAGGGCCCAUAGGCGGCAUCAUAUGCAUCGAGCCCGGCGGGUAGGGCGACGGCACAGGCGGGCGCGGCAAGAGCCAGAGCAUGUACCUGUAGUAGGCGUGACCUUCCCCGCCGAAGACGAAGGCGUAGUCCGGGUUGUCGUGCUGCUUGUCGCGGAUCAUGGCCUCGAAAUCCGGCCCGUUCUUGGCGAUGUACUCGACGAGCUUGUCGAUGCGCUUCUGGAGCUCCGGAUCGGCGGGGGGCGCGGCCGGCGGCGGCGGGGCGGAUUCGAACGGCGGCGGGUGCAUGUAAGGGUGGUGCGGCGGCGGGGAGGGCGUGGACAAGACGUGCGGCGGCGGCGGGUGCGACGCGUAGGGGGGAGGCGGCUGCUGGUGCGGCGGCAGGUGCGAGUAGGCCGGCGGCAUGGGGCGCGCGUAGGGCCCGGGCGGGUACUGCGGGAGCGGCGCGCCGUAAGGGUGGGGCGGGUACUUAGGCGGCGGCGCCUGCGGGUGGUACCCGCCGUACUGCGGCGGCGGUGGCUGCUGCCCCUGCGCGUACGCCAUGGCCGCGGCCGCGUAGUCCUGGGGUUGCCGGUCCAUGAGGGGCUCCGGCGAGAGGAAGGGUAGGGCUCCGAGAGCCGGCGACGGCGACGGCGGCGGCGGCGGAGACGAGACAGGGGGAGAGGAGACGAGGCCGAGAGAGCUCGCGAGGUGUCACGCUGGCCUCGCAGAGGGCAAAAGGCCGCUGGACCAGACUCCAAUCGGCCCAUCAUGCAAUAGGAUGGCGAUUCGUUUUCGUGAUCCACUAGGCCCACCAAUCAGGCCUUGUUUAGUCCCAAAAAAAUUUCAAAAUUCCCGUCACAUCAAAUUUUGCGGAACAUGCAUAGAGUAUUAAAUUUAAAAGAAAACAAAAACUAAUUACACAGUUUGCCUGUAAAUCGCAAGAUGAAUCUUUUGACCCUAAUUAGUCUAUGAUUGGACAAUAUUUGCCACAGACAAACAAAAAUGCUACAUUACCUAAAAUCCAAAAUUUUUGCCAACUAAACAAGGCCUCAAUGGAAGAUCUGGGUUGGAGUGGUUUUAAGUCGACUUUAUCUUAUUUAAUUAUAGUAGCAAACAUACUCGUGUGUUGCAACAGGAGAAAAGCUAUCAAAUAUUUAACUUGUUUGCUUUAACUUUUUGCACAACUGCAAUGACCACAAUAACCUAAUUUCUAUAGUUGUUACUUUUGAUGUUGUGAGUGGUUGUUGUAACAAUCACAAACACACAGGCUUGUUAAUGAAAAUAAAGAUGACGAUGUUAUAUAUCUAUUUACUAUUUAUAUUUUUAUGUUUUAUGAUGAUCAUGAUAUCUCUAGUAUAAGUUAAUAUUGACGAUAUUCUAUAAAUUAUGUAUUGAAUUAAAAUACAAUGUUGAUACAUUUUUUUCCAUUGUAAAGAACGAAAUAUUUACUCGCAAAAGUAUCAUAAUUUUAGUUUUUAUACUGAUUGUCCAUGUGUUUGUAGAUUUUGAUAUCAAGUUAUGUGACUUUUUUUUUAAGAAUCCAUAAAAAUAUGUAACUUUAAUAUUUAGUUAUCGUGUUUUAGUUUCUACAUGGCAGACCUUGUUGAAAGUCAUACUGGUAUAUGUAGACAUUUCAGAUAUUUUGCAUUGGUAUGUGUAGACAGCUUGGAGAAACAUUUGUUUUGAUUAGAUUGAACGUGAAACUGCUCAAGAUUUCAGUUUACAGAUUGAUUAACUAGAUCAUCGACUAAUCUAUGUCAUAUUACUUAUUUUAUUAUUUGUAAUUAAAACCAACAACUUGAUUCAAAUAUUUGUGUAUAUUAAGUAAAUAUCAAACUUAAAACCCCAUAAUAUUAUAUUACUAUUUAUCUUUAUCUUUAUAAGGAAAAACAGAGUUAUUUCACCAGGUAAAAAAAUAAAUCACGGCAAGGGAGGCAGCACUUUCCUACCUGUUUUCCAUCGCCCAAAGACGGCUCUUCGAAGCAAAAAGAAAAGGAAAAAAAUUCCACCUUUUUACUCCAUGUCCAUCGUCCAGAAUAUAUCACGCUAGGAGUCUUACAUCUUACAUAUAUGUAAGAUCAUAGACGAUAGAGAGCUCAUAUAGCAUGACGUCUAGAUCAAACGGUUAUUAUAGAGAGAAAUGAGUCUUACAUCUUACAUAUAGGUGAAAAAAAGUUAUCAAAGACUGCUCUCCUAACGACAGGAAAGCAAAAUUUGUUUUUUCCACAUUCGUCUUUUUACUCGAUCUCCAUCGUCCUUACCGCAGUAGGAGUCUUACAUCUUACAUGUAAGAUCACGGAUGAUAGAGGGCUCAUAUAUCAUGACGUCUAGAUCGACGAUUAUUAUAGAGAGAGAGGAGUCUUACAUCUUAUACAUGUAGGUAGAAAAAAAAUCUUGGCAAAAAUUUUGCCUCUUCGUUAUUAGAUAUAGAUUAUAUAUAAAUAAAUACUUAAAAGGUUUAAAAUAUCGCUCAACUUUUAAAAAUUUUGGGAAGAAACUCUAGAUAUAUAAUGAUGUAUUAAGAAAUCCAUUUUUUUUUUCAAAAACUUCAAAAAUAUGAUUUAGAUCUAGAAAAAUGAGAAAUAUAUGAAAGAACUAAAAAAUUACAAAACAUGAGUACAAAAUUUUUGAAGUAUAAACAUAUGUUUUAAUCAUAUUUUUGACGAUGAGCCACCCAUUUCCUUCUAAAUAUAAGACACAGCCAACACGAAUGCAACGUACAUUAAUAUUGAAUGGAUUCAUGCUAGUCAUGUAUUAUGUUUUUUUUGAAAACAUAUUUGCAUAUCAAUUAUAUUAUUAUAUGUUUUGAGAAAUUUCUAGAUUUUAUGGAUAGUUUUCCAUUUUCCUAGAGAUAUUAUAUCUACUUUUUAAGCAUCUAGGGAUUUUCAUGAGCUCUAAAUAUUUUAUUUAGAUUUGUCAUGUCUCAAUCUCUCUCUCUCUCUCUCUAUUCUUUUUUGAAAUUCUUACAAGUUUAGACCUUUUUUGUGGUUUAGAAACCUAACGAUUUUUUUAAUAAAAAAGACAAACUCAUCUUGAAAUCCACUCCAAGCAAUUUGAAUGGUGUUGAGAGUUCAGUGGGUAAGAUAUAUAGUUUUAAAGUUUAAGGAGAAAAACGAUAGUUCAAGAAGAUAGAAUAGACUUUUUCUUGGUAUAAGAAUACUGCAAAUGUGUCUACUGAAAUUUGGAUUGUGAUCCAUCACGACCGCAAGGAACUUGAUCCUCUAGAGUUUAUGUAAAUUCAGAAGGGCGCCUCGUUUACAGUCUUUAUAAGAGUACAAAUUUUACAUGAAUGGAACCAACAAGCAUAAGAAUUUACAUUAUAUACAAAUGAUUUUUAAGGAGGUAAGAUGAGACAAGGUGAGCCACCCAUUUCCUUCUUUUAGCGUCUGGACAUCUAGGCAACACCUUAGAAACCAUGAUUAUACAUAAUGUUGAUUUCCUAAGACAAGCAUAUCAUAGUUAUCAUUUAAAUGCCAUUCAAGUAUAAAAUGCUCAGAACGCCCUAAGGUUGCAAACAUGAGUACAUGGCAUGGCAAUGUGGAGAUUCCAUCUUGACAAGUCAAACUUGUUAAACAUUUUUUGUGCACUUUGACAAGUCCACAACUUUAUGAACCUCUAGUAACAGAAUUCAUGUACUUAGAAUUUAUGAACCACAAGUUCAAGGAUCACGCACACAUUUCAUGAUAGAUAGGUUGAUAAAUGAAUCAUGGAUGCAUGGUUUGUAACCUGAGGCUGAGGUAGAAUAACACAACCAAUCCAAAAGUCUCUAUUCAAACUGGCUAGGAAUAAUACAUAAAGCGAGUACAGAUUAGUAUCCUCUUCGAGCCUCACGAAACACAAAAGAAAAAUAAUGUACUCACGUUUGACAGCAUCACAACUCAGUCUAAGCACAUAAAUAGCUACCAAAUAUACCAGCCCCUACGAUGCAAAAGGCAUACGAGUAGUUUUAGAAGCUGGCAUAGAUGUCGUCUGUUGAAAUUGCUUCCUAAAGCUCAAAUCAUUAUCAACCACUGACAGCAUCCACUCACUAAUCAACAUCAACUUCCUCAUCGUCACCCUUGUACUGAAUGAAAAACAGAAGGCAUAGUGUCAAGAGUUUAUUUCAAGAACUGCAUAUACAAAAGCUAAUUUUCAAAACAUAUUCAAAUGUCUUCCAAAAAUAAUAAAUGAGCUGUUAGUAUCCGAAACAGAAGGUGACACUAAUAGAGCAAUGGAGAAAAAUCAAAAUACAUUUUUAAGUCGGGCAAACUACAACAUAAUAUUCCAUGGUACACUAAAAUGUUUUAAAAGAUAGAUUAUAGGUUAGGAAGAUAUAUGUAGACGACUUGAAAUACCAGAAGAAUCCAUCAGACCAAAAAAAAAAAAAAACACUGCAAACUUCUUGAAAAUGAUCAAGCUGAAAGCAUUUUUACAACUUGUACAUGACUAAGAUUUGCCCCAUGACAUAAUUAUUGUAAAUAAUACGAUGCAUAUCAAUGAGUUGCUUGACCAAGAAGGGCAUGCUAAAAUAGUCUGUUUCAUGUUCUACAUAAUAGAUGAUAACAAAGAAAAUUAAUGGUAUCAUAGCCCAGUUGCUGGAUACUACUUGGUAACAUGGGGCUACACAUAGAUAAAUAAAGUUAUUAUUGCUGAACAAUUGAAAUGUCGAUCACCAUAACCAUUACUGGUGCGACCUAUAUGGCUACAUGUAGAUUUAGUCCUAUGUCUUUGUACAAAAACAGACAGCUGUUCCUCCAUAGUUAUUGAAUCAUUCAGUAAGAUUGCCCAAAGGAUAGCAUAGCCAAGAGGCUCGCCCAGGCAACCAAACACCUCUAGAGCAUGAGUGCAACUUAUUGAUGUGUGGCUCUCAUGUUUGUCUCAUCUCUUGUGCUGCCAUUCUCAUUCGUGCUGGUUGGAACUCCACCAUCACCCUUGCACCACAUCCUCAGGACUGCACCCUGAGCAUGCUCUGGAAUUGUGCCACUGCCAGCCCGCGGCUGAAUUUCACUCGUCCUGAUGUGCCACCUAAGGACGCCUGCCGCUGCUCUGGAGUUCCACUGCAGCAGCCAGCACCAGCAAUGUGGAGUGGGCAAAAUGCCAGAACAGGAAGCAACACAGAAUCAAGGUUGAGAAGGUGCAGCUCACCUUCAAGGAGUUUGAGCUCUGCAUUGGUCGCUCAUGAAUCGUGCAUGAACUAAUGAAGCUGUUGACAACUGCCACGGCCUUGUCCACACCCACAUCCAAGCCCCAGAGGAAGCCAUAGGAGGAUGGCUGCAUGGCAUCAAGCACUUGGCACCCACUGUCACGUAUGGGCGCCGCAGCACCAAGUAAGGGGAGAAGGAGAAGGAAGUUUAGCGCCUCAAUUAUGCCACCUGGACAGCCUUGAUGCCAUUGGCUUGUGCAAUGCUGGAAGGGCCAGGUGCAGCUGUACAGGAAGACGUGCAAGGGGCUCACUCAGUCAGGAGUUGGCUGCCCACAUGGGCUCUGUCUGGUGCAUCAACUCCAGCCUGGUCGGAUCAUACCUUGCAAUGGGGAGAGGACCUUGUGAUCUAUGUGUGGGAGGUGACAGGGAGGAAGAAAGUGUGAGUUGCUCGGGGAAUGAUUGACCAGAGAGAGCAAGUGACUGUGGACAGUGCUCGGCCUCCAGAUGUAUUGUGUGAAGGGAUAAGAAAGGAUAAGAGGCAACUGCAUAAUGGUCCACUAACAUGUGUUGGGAAAUAAAAUGGAAAAGGAAAAGAAAGGAAGCAGAGAAAAUGGGGUAGAAACACCUUAAACAAAGUUUGGGUGUCUCUGGUGUCAAAUUUCGGAAGUCGCAAGAAUUGAGUGUUAUAUCUUAGUGAGGCCUGCAUACUGAGAACCAUAUUCUGAAACCUCUCCUAAAUUCUAUGAUACCAAACUCACAAAACUACAUAAAUUUCCAUGGAAUUUGCAGAGCUUUUAGGAUAACAAAGGGCAUUAAAGAGAACGUCUAAUAAUAACAUAAUGAGGCAACAGAUCAUGACAUACUUAGUAAAUGAUUAUAAACAAUUUUGCUAAAUGAGUUAAUCCAAGAAAGAUGUCUCACCCUAUCCGCAAAAAUAUUGCUUGAAGAGACAAUGUUUCCAACAUCAACGUAGUCACCCUCCCUUAACUUCUUCACUGUAAAUGAUUCUGGUAGAUCAGUUCCCUUGCUAUCUUGGACAUGUUCUAGAGCAUCUUCAGGUCUAUAGUUCUCUGAUGUUGGGAUCAUAUCUUCGUCAUUCUCUCUCUGUUUCUUUCCUGAAAAAGAACAGUUUGCACAUGGAAAAAAAAUAAGUAGUAAAAUGUGCACAUAUUCAAGAUAAUGAUGCCCAUGUGUGAGAACAGGAGAUAUGUCAAACAUCAAACAGUAAGAGGGGAAAGUGGAGAAUAGGUAAUAACUAUCUUGACAUACUUGAUCAAUAUAGAUAAACAAUAUCAUUCCAGGAUCAAAUUUAUGUCUACAAAGAUUUCAGGUAGGUUUACCAGUUUUUGCUUCUUCACUUGUUGGGAGGGAAAUAGGUCUUUUUCUCGAAGCUGAAACAUGGUUUUGCCUUUGGUCACUUGGGCUCAUUUCAUUACCAGUAUAUAGAUCUUCAUUAGCAGUAAUCCCGAUGGAACCCUGCUCCUUGGUACAAGGCUUCAAAAUAUCUGAAGCAAGCAAAUCUGCUAGCCUCUCAAAGCGAGCCUGAGACCUGCAGACCUCAAAAUGGUGAACAACUAUGUGGCAAUCAUGUAAGGACUAAAACUAGGAGUGCUAUUAUGUUUUAUUUCAGACCAUACACAAGUUCAGGUACAUUUAAUAUAUGGGGAAAAGAAACCUGCCUCUUUAAAUCAUCCUGUGCUUUUAUAUAACGCCCAUGUGCUUUGAUUAGCUUUUUGGUUUUGGAGGUCAUCCUAAAUUGAAAAGGAGGCAUUAGGGGGGAAACAAAUACUUGGUGAUCUUCUCUUAUGCUGAAGAACCCACCAACUGGUAUGAAAAUAAGUAUUUUGUAGGAAUAUAGGACCUUUGGCAAUCUUCUUUCUCUUUGUUCAAUUGCAACUCAAGAUCUUCUACUCUGCUACAAAGUUUGCGCUCUUCAUCAGUCUUCUUCUCCAAUAUUGCCUGCGGUAUAGUGAACCAGUGAAAAAUAGUAAUAUCUAUAUAUACACCCAAGGUUGAUUAUGCUAAUUUGAUGAUCAGGACUGUUGCUUAGUCCUCAUCCACAGAAGUUCUACUUGGUCCUAAUGGAUUAAUUUAAAUGUCUUGUAACAUAGAUGAGAAAUUCCACAACAAUAAAGUUUCAUCACAAUAAUUACAGUUAAGGCAGAAAAAUAACAAAAAAGAGGGAACAAUUCGAAUCAUAGAGUAACUAAUAAAAUCACAACCGUGAUCAACUGACAAAUAAAAUGAACUGAUGGAAUCCAUGCUUCAAUUCCUCCAGAUAUAUUAACAACUCGAGGUGAUAAGUAAUCAAUAUGUAAGACAUGUCCUGAAAAAUCAUAACUGACCUCCAGCUUUGAUUUAUCUUCACGCAAUACUUCCAUGUCCAGAUGCAUUUGUUUCAGCUGCAGGGCACAUGUAAAUAUAUAAAAAGGUCUAGGAAUACGGCAAUAGAUUCACUUGUAUGUUGUCAUGGCAAUUUGAUGGAUAGCAUAGUUAAAACUUACUUGUUCUUCACGACCAUUUUUCUCAUCACUGCUUAAGUACCUUUCAUCUUUUCCUCUGUCUUCGUUAUCAGAACUUCUAUAACUUAUGGAUGAAUCGGUUUUUCCACCAUCAGGACUUUUGCUAUGUUUUCUCUCACUGAACAGUCCAUAGAACAUAAACAUAAAGAUAGGCAAUUUCAGAAGCCAUAAAAAGUUGCAAAAAAUAGCAUGUAUACAGUUCACAUGUCUAACAUAAGAUCAAAACUCUCUUUGAUUAAACCAACCCUGAAGACCAUACACCCCCAUCCAAAGUUACAAAUGGAUAAUAAUUAGACUCCAUGGUAGAUUGUGGAUUGAACAAUAGAAUAAAGGGUCUCAUAAACCACAAACUUAACAUUGCAGCUCGCACAGAGAAAAAAAUUAAAGAUAGGCAAUUUCAGAAGCCAUAAAAAGUUGCAAAAAAUAGCAUGUGUAUAGUUCACAUGUCUAACAUAAGAUCAAAACUCUCUUUGAUUAAACCAACCCUGAAGACCCUACACCCCCAUCCAAAGUUACAAAUGGAUAAUAAUUAGACUCCAUGGUAGAUUGUGGUUGAACAAUAGAAUAAAGGGUCUCAUAAACCACAAACUUAACAUUGCAGCUCGCACAGAGAAAAAAAAUUAAAGGAAACCAAUAAAUUAUCAGGGAUUAAGUCAUGAUGUCACACGAAGAUAGACUAGCCCGAUGGAAUAAACAAAUUUAAGUAUAUACAGAGUUAACUGAACACACAACAAACUGAACAAUGGCCACAUUCUGAAAUGAAUCCCUAAUAAUCGUUCCUACAUACCUCUUCCUAAUAGGUGAUCUUGAACGACUAGAUCCUGCAAAUGAAAUUUCAGGGAGUAGUUAGAGGAUAGAAUGGACAAUGGCCGAUAGUUUUUAUUGGCACAAGUGUGCACAGAAAAUGAUUACCCCUCUCUUCAGAACUUGGUCUCUUAUCACGAAAGGAACGACGCCUGGCAUCUCUUUCGGGGGAAUACCUAGGUGAGUGUCUUCUCUCAGGCCUGAGUCUAAACUCAUGAUCUCUGUAGUCCCUUCUCCCUACAAACCAGGAAGGUGAAAGAUUUACCCAAAAAACAUUAUGCCAUCGAAGAACAAAAGUUAGAUGGAACUGCAGUGAUAAAAGGCAACACAGAAACCCAUUAAGCUUACCAAAACCUUGAGCCAUAUGGUUAUUCAAUUAGCUACAAGAAUUAGAGGGUCCACAAUAACAUCAAUACACCAUAGGCCAUAAACACAGACGAGCCAAUACAACUAAUGAAAGAGUAGAUGCCAAUGCAUGAUUACACAUCAUGAUUCACCACUUAGAAUAGAUCCAAUACUUGUAAUACCAAUCCCCUGUAGUAUAUUUGGAUGGAAUCACCAAAAUUAAUUAUAAUUAGCUAUCAUGUUCCAAUCAUCAUGACACAAAAUCUCCCAAAACUCCAAUAGCACCAAACAAAUUUAACUUCACUUGAUCAGAUGUUAUCCAUAUGACUGCCAAAAAUCCUGUUCCAAGAUGAUGCUUGAAGGGCAGAUAACAAUAAAGCCACGGAUAUAGCUUGAUGCAGUAUAUUCAAAGGGCGUGUUUCAGUUAGUUGCAAAAGCUUCUAACAGCAUUGUUAAAGCUCACUGACCAUAGCAUGAACCUCAUCGAGAAGAAAAAAUGUAUGAUAUCUUCCAUAUUAAGUUAUUCUGAUUCAGGUUAAGCAUUCAAGUGAUCAUAAAUGACCGAUUGCCAACUGAAAAGAAGGCCAGGAUGGAAAUAUGAUGUGUCAUCCUCUGAAAGCAGUCAAUCUCAACAAAUCUGCCCAUGAGACAUCUAUUGUAAAAUAAAAAUAAUAACCAGCAAUGCCAUUGCCAAGAUUAUCUGCAAUGAAAUCAGGCUUGUUGAUGAUUUUUGUGUUCUGCAACAGCAAACACUCAGUUCAAGUACCACUACACAGGAAUCAUCAUAGUGUAUAUGCACCAUAAGACGAGAAGAUAUAACACGAACUGAGAAAAGAUUCAGGUGCCAAACCAUCAUACUAUUAUGCAAUUGAAGUGUAGAGUCUUCUCAGCCACGAGUAGAAACUAUAAAGCCUCCCAGAAUGGUCAGCUAUUAACAUUUGCACACCCAUUGGUACAUCCUCAAAGGAUGCACUUGCAAGUUGUUACCAUUAUAUAAUUCUUGCAGUUGCAACUAUCUUCCCUGUUUGCUAGCUCUGCUCCUGAGACCAUAUGAUUCAGAUCACAUUGCUAUCUGUCAGUGUUUGCUGCACCACUAGCAUUGAAACAUUGGGCUUUUGCCUCCAGUCAUCAACAAAUCAUCCCAAUAACUCGAUCAAUAAACAGGCAGAAGAUGCAUCUCUUUGCUCGGAUUGAAACCAUCCAAAUAACCUAAUCCGACAGAUUGACAUAAAAUCGACAACAUUUUGGGUACCGCAAAACCCAGAAGCAGACAGUAGCGAUGCAAAGCCCUAAAACGACGAACUAAGCGCGGAUCGAGAAUGAGAGCGAGAGGGAGGGAGGGAGGCUCGCGUGGUGCAUACCAGGUCGAGGGCGAGGCUGGAAGGAGGCGCGUGGGGGCGGCCUCCGGAGCUCAGCCUCGCCGUGGGCGAAACCGCAGUUGGGGCGGGGGCAGCCGCCCCUGCCCCUCCAGAGCGCGCACAGCUUCGUCUUGUACGCCGGCCCGCGGAAGGGAGGAGGGCCCGACGCAUCCGGGCUCCCGCCUCUGUCCCUCUCCCUCAUCCCCUCCCGCAUGGCUCCUGAACGCGGCGGACGGCAACCCCCGCUUGCUACAGUCGAGACGAGACGGCGGCCGACAGGGUGAGCCGAAGACGGCGAAUGCCACGAAGGGGGAAAGGGGAGGAGAACAGGGAAGAAGGCCGGAAGGGCCUAUAGGCGGCCCAUGGGAGUUUUCGAGCCCAGCAAGCCGAAGGGAAGCUCAAGGCUAGGGAUGUCAACGGGGAAUUCCCGUCGGAGGUUACUGCCCCAAACCCGUCCCCGCGGGGGCAAAUUCUCCCCCAUCCCCGUCCCCGUGAAGGGUCACGGGGAGAACUUCUGCCCCAUCCCCGUCCCCGCUCGGGGAUUAAAUCCCCGCGGAGAUCCCCGUCUCCGCGUCAAUUAUAUAAACAACAACAAAUCACUUACAUAAACAACAACAAAUAUCCAAUAAUUCACAUGCAAAUAACAGCCAUUUGUCUAUAAUUGCCUAUUGCAUAGUUCAUAACAACACAGAAACAAUCACAUUGUUCAUACAUUCACCACAAGUGAUUCAUCAACUAGAAAUAGCAACUAAGAAUCCAAACAUCGAGCAUAGGUUUAUUACUAUCGGUUCUCCACGGGGAACGGGGACGGGGGGAGGCACACCAGACCCGCCCCCGCAAAACCCGACGGGGACAGAUUUUGCCCCAUUUAGCUCCCCAUGGGGAGAGAUUUUACCCAAACCCAUCACCAAAUAGGGGAAUUCCCCCGCGGGAAAUCGGGGAUCGGUUCCCCAUUGACAUUUUGACUCAAGGCUCGGCGAGCUCAAGCCGUUUCUUAAGGUCGGCUCGACGCUUGAACUCGGCUUCGGCUUUGCUGCUUUGCCGUUUGCCCUAGACCCGUUCGCCGCCACGGAGGCUAUAAAAUAGGGCAACCCGUGCUCCUCUUUCAUGUACCUAGGGUUUCUGUAUCCAGCCCGCCGCCGCCGCUGCCGCUCUUCGCCACCGCGCCUAAGCUAUGCGUGUCAUCCUGGCUGACCCGGCCUCAUCGUCUAAUCUUUCGUUUGUCGUCCGUGCUGCUGUCUGUUUACUCGUAAUAUAUUUGCCGGCGGAGUAGUUUUGCAUCGUUUUGAUUUGUACCGUAAUGUUUUCCUCUCUUGUUGAUAACGGCGGGGGCACGAAUUCUUCCGUGCUGCGCCGCCCACGCAAGGAGGGGAUAGAUCGACGCGUCAAGAAAUCGUUUCAGUUGCCAUGACUCCAGUAGGCAAUAUGAUUGUUGCUUGACUACAGUUUUGUCUCCCACUACUUCGCCUAUUUUGUUUGUUUUGUUUUGAAAUCUCGGUAGCGAUUUCUAGAUCUAAUAACUCGGUUUCUGCAUGGUGCUAACCCCGGGCUUGUCGGAUUUACUACUUGAAGAAGGAAGCCCCAAUGCCUGUGCUAGAUCCACCAUGCCAUUCAGUGUUGCAGGCCCUGAUGAAUCUUGUGAUUGGUCUGUGUCAAAGCAAUGGAUACAUAUAUCCGUAAUACAUCAUUUCUUAUUAUGUUUGGUUUGCUGUUUCGUUUGAUUGAUUGAUUGAUUGAUGGCGGUGAUUUGACAUUACCCGCGCUUCUGAUCUAACCCGUGAAGCAAAGGGAAAAAUAAUGGUUGAAUUUCUUAAUAUGAGCCAUCUAGUAAUCAUUCAAUCGUCUCUUCUAUUUUCUGCAUCAGCUCAUUUGGUUCAUGUCACUAAUUUGGCAGUGAUGAUACAAUCAUUCAGCUUAUAACGCCAGUUCUGCUUCUGAUAAUUCAUGACAGAUAAAGCUGAUUCAUAUCUGAGCCUUGAUUUGUGUCAUGUUCCGACAAACCCAUCUUUAGGAUCAUGCAUUUUUUUUUUCUUAGCCCAAACCUUACAUCCCAUUGGCCUGUGAUGAAGUCACCCAAUGUUUGGAGGCUGCAAUCGGCUCCAAGUACCUGCUUGAAAGGUAGAACCUACUUGGAGCUCCUGCACUCGCGUUUGUGUUUUCAGUUUACAAUAACAAUGUUGUAGAUUAGUCAUUUCACCCGUAAUAAUUGUACUGGGUAAGUCUGCCCCGAGUUUAACUAUCCUUGCACUAGUGCUCUGAUCUGUGAUGAGGCUGAAAAACUCGGAAAGUGUGUGUUGUCAUCAGCUUCGGCUCUGUACUUGUGAGUUGGGAGUUAAAUAACAGCACAAGAUUGUUUACUUUUGUGAGUUUAAACCACAAAUUUUGCCUUGGUCUUGCAACAUUUUUUUUAGGUUUUAGAAGAUGAAGAGCUACUUAUAAGUCUAACUAAUUCGCCCUGUGUUGACUAGCUUAGGCCUCCUGACCAAUCUGCUUUGAGCUUGUAUAGAAACCACAGUAUCCUUUGCCUACUCUCCGUAGUCACUUUCACAAUUCAUUUAGUUUACAUUAUAUUGUUUGUGGUUAUUAUAAACUUAUGAUAUGAUUACUGAAGACUAAUUAAUUAUGAAUCUAACCGUAUCAAAUCUGUAUUAGAAAUAGUUAAAAAAUGUAUGCCAAAUUAUUUGUCAAAGAUUGUAAACUUUGUUUUUUAUAAUAUUAAUAUUCACGUGUUCCUUGUAAACUAUACUGGAUUGUGUUUUUAAUAACUAUGGUCAAGUCCAAAAUGCAUUAUGCAGCAUACUGAUGCCUAGAAUCCCUGUGUUAAAUAGCUUCAGGCACACCCUCGAAUCUUUAGUUCUUGCUUAGGAUUAGGAUUCCAAGCAUAUGUUGUGCAGCUGUAGCUCAGUGUCUUGUCCUGGUUAUGCUCUAUUUUCAGCAUCAUAGAUUUUCUGUGCUACUUUUGGGGACUAGAGAUUCAGUUGCUAUUCUGGUAUUAUUUCAUGAUUAAUUGUACCAGUUCUCAACCUUUUUUUCGUUAUUAUUGUUCUUUACUUCCUGCUCUGAGAAGUUAGAUUUUGAGUGGUGAUGAGCAAUUGUGUUUUGGACUAGAGUUUCUGAUACUACUUGUGGUAGUUGAAGACCAAACCCUUGGCUGUCUGAACUCAAAUCUAACAAGUGAGCAAUAUCAUCGUCAUUUUAGAUGGAUUUUUCCCCUUUUUUUUAUUAAGUGCGUCCAUUACCAAUUCAGGAGGAUGACUCUGUUCCUCUUUGUAUAAUGGCUUGGACGCGACAUGCUAUUCUAGUAAAUAGAUGUGUGGUUAUAUCCUGAUUGGUGGUGUUCUUUGUGCCAAUCCAAUCCUGGAAAGGCCACAUAAAUUCCCUCACAUGCAAAGAUGAUUAAUUUUUCACGUGUUUCUGGUAUAUAAGUGUUGUAAUCCUGAUCUGUUUGAUUGUUUGGUGUACCAUGAUAUUUCUUUCCUAUUGAAUAGGAUGGCAUGAUAGGCCCCAGAAACUUCUUUUUAUUGUUUGAGUGGCCUGUUAGAGGUGUGGAUGAUGAUAACAAAGUAAAAUACAGUUAUCCCUGUCUUAUUCCUUCCAAAGGGUGCUGAUAAAACUUUAUUCUGACACAACUAUGUAUUUAUAGUAGUUUAAUUAAAUUAUUUCCUUUCAGAUGCGUUUUAUUUUGAUCUGAUCAAAAGUUGAUUGUCUGAUUUUGUUUUUGUUCUUUGCCUGAUGAGAUGAUUGUUGCAGGACAGGCAAUCUUGUGAAUGUAACUAAAUCUGAAUUUUGUUUGGUUUGAUACCUUGAUAAAUGAAUUUAGGAGUGAUGGCAGUGACGACUUGGUAAUAUUCAAGCUCAACAGACCAAAUCACAUGUCAAUCUCUUUAGAUGAGAUUAACCUGUAUGCCGAAUAUCCCGCUGAACUGAGCCAUCAGGAUUUUCUGAGCUGUUUGUCCCAUUUGCAUAUUCAGCAUGUUUACCCUGUAACUGAUGUUAAUAUUUCUUGUUUUGAGGCUUCAAUAAUUAUCACUGGUCAUAUUGUGUCUUGAGAGGCAACAAAUUAGAGUCUCUGAUGUGCUUUUCUGUAGCACAUUCAGUGCUGUACGUUGCCAAUAGUGAGGAUGGAAUAAGUUAUCAUGCAUUCAUUGCCUUCUCAAACCGUGUGUGCAUCCCGAUGUCCAACAUUCCUCACUUUGCUUAUAAUUGUAUGGCCAGUGGUUUUUCCAUUGUUGGAUGACCACUAGGGUGAGUGCUUUAAUCUUGUCUUUGUGUGAUUACUACAUAAAGCAUCUUGUUUAUAUGUACUGUUCUGAUUUUUUUAUGAGCCUGAUGCCACGUCUCCAGUAGCUGUGGGCAUUGACUGGUGAUGCUAUGAUUAGGCCUAUACAGAGUGGUGUCCACAUUUCACAUGUUUAUAGGAACCUGUGGGCUGUAUCUCAAUCGGUCCACAGAGCCGGUAUCUGUGAUUACAGUUACAAACAAUUUACACAUUUUAUUUGGUGGAUUGGUGAUGAUAAUGAUGAGGCCUUUUUCCAUUUGCAGUAGCUGCCGAAGUGCUUUUGACCUGCCAAGCAUGAGAACUAGUGCUGUUAGAACAAUUCAUUUGGUGGAUCGUGCAAAUUCUUUUUUUUUCCUACUAGGAUGUCCUUUUGUAAUGUCCCUCAUUUUUCAGAUGCGAUUUAUGUUUUCAAAGGGGAAAGACAAUAUUCAAAUAGGAAUUCAGACAUGAGCACAUUAGGCAUUUCCUUAAUGAUCUGUAUUAUUGGAGAGUUCAAAGGGAAUAUUCAAAAGGGAAUGCAGAGUUCAGCAUGAGCACUUUAGGUCUUUCGUUAAUGAUCAGUAUUUUCACAGUGAGCUGGGUCCUUUCUCUUAGCUGCCUGAGGAGGAUAUUUAGGAGUUUACUUUUUUGAUAUCCCUCCAUAGCCUUCUGAUUGAUAUAUAUAGUUCCAGAACAUGCAGAAUUUCUUGGAACAUCUUACAGUUUGCAGAAGAACAAGGGUUUACUGAUCAUGUGAACAUCACACGGUUUUGAUGGGAGCUUAGUUUGCAGAAGAACAAGGGUUUACUGAUCAUGUGAACAUCACACGGUUUUGAUGGGAGCUUCUAGCAUUAGAUGAAGAAGAGAUUUCAGAAGAGAUUUCAGACUGCCGUAGUACUAGCUAUCAGCAGUUUGGGCAACAUCCAAAUUGCUGAAAGCUAGUGUCCAUGUGACUGCUGCCCGAUUAAUGUUUGCUUGAUACCAAACAACCCUAGAUAACUCACUACACGGAGAUAGUUAAAAGCAAAACUACAAACAUACGACAGACUCAGACCAACAUAUAAACUAGAAACAUCUCUGUUUAGCACAGAUGUCUCCAUUCUUGUUCCUACGCUGCAGCACUAUGAUGUGCCUAGGUUUCUUGUACUUUCUUGUACUUUCUUGUUCUUUUAUCAUGGAAAAUUUGCAUUACCACAGUGGAAAGACAGUAUAUAGAAAUAUAGUUCUUGUCAGCUCUGUUCUACAUAAUCCUACCAUUAUUGUUUCGAUGUCAAGAACAAAUUGCUAGCUCCUGAUCCACGUUGGUUUGAUCCAACGAGCUGCAAGAUGACGGCAAACAUGAAGUCCGAGCUGGAAAACUAUUUUCACUAUUGUACACCUGUGUCCUGCUUUUGAAACCAGUAAAUAACCGAAGUUCAUGCAGAGACGUGCUCUCAUGCUCGAAAAACAGAAAAUGCCGAUAUUCACACGCAUACAACCGCACAACCAUGAAUCCAAGAAUCUGGCUCAUUGAUGCAAUGAACACAAACGCCCAUACACUACUUACACCACAGAGCUGAUUAUUACAGUAGCGUUACUCAUAACAUAACAGAUGCCUGCUCGAUGGUGGUUACAUGGAGGCCAUAGCAAGCUGUGCGAGGCUCACAAGUCCAUGUAGAAACUUAGCUUGUCACAGCUCAGGAUACGGGAACGAUCAUUAACCCAUUACAUCAGGAAGAACGGCGAGGCAACAUGGGAGCCCAAGUUGCUUCUGAGCAUGUUGAAGCCCCGGAGGCGCUCCAGAUUCAUCACAUCGGAGUGGUCAACGAAGAGAUUUACCUACAUUUGCAGGCCGAUACAUGUCAAAACUUUAGGAUCAAAUGAACAAUGAGAAACAAUGGUAUCAGCAUUACUCAGCUUGAGUUUUUUCAGAGAGGAGUGGAGUCAGUACCCUUGGGCCAUAUCGUCUGACAAACCACUCUGAGGUUUUGGGAUUGGAAGCUUCAAACAUGGUCUUAUCAAGUCCGAGCCGGCCUACAAUCUUGGCAAUGAUGUCUGUCCUCAGAGAUUCAGCAUGCUGGCAAACAUCAUCGGCGUCGAUCAUGAUCAUAUCUGCGCCUGCUUCCAAGCAUCUCUCUGCCCUCCUAAUCAGCAGGUCAACAUCUUCAACUCUUUCUGCAAGAGUGGACACCAAACACACGUGUUUUGAGUAAAAAAAAAAGAAUUUGAUUACAAAAAAAGAUACAGGUGUAGCAUAACGUGCAAGGCUGUGAACUGUGAUAACAAAAGAGAAUAGUGGCAAAACGACUAAAUUAUAAAUGAUGAAUAAAAAAACACAAAACAACCAGUUAGUUAAAGGAAUCAUCUAACUGAACAUUGUUCAGUAAGGGCUGUUGCUUUGUGCAAACAUUAUUCAGUACUCGUUAUGAUAGGAGGUAAUUAGGGUCAUACUAAUCACAGUGUGUAAAUAGAUGUUGAAAAGACACCCCUAUUUUGUUUACCUGAGGUCUUCUCCUUGACCGGAGCUAUGUACGCCCCAAAGGCCCUAUCACCAGAUGCAGGAAUAUCAGAACUGUCAAACUUCACUGAAAACAUUGGCUUUGCCCUCAAACCACUACUCUUGAUGAGGCGCACUAGUCUCAACAGAGCUUCUUCAGGGAGGUUGAGAGAUCCAGGAUUCAGCUCAAUUGUGUCAAACCCUAAGGCCUUGCAUUCCUAAAAUGGAGUACUCAUGUCAUGUGCUACUCGGAAGUGAUUUCAUGCAUGUUUGCAAACUGUCACAAAAUUACAUAACCAUAACAGAGGCGCAUACCUCUACAUAUUGCUUGAAAGAAGAGGGUCCUUGACGCAGCAAAUGCUCUGCCCAAUCACCUGUGCUCACAUAAAUGUCAUGCUUGUGUGCUAGAUCAGUGAUCUCUCUAACCAAAUCCUUUCCCAUCAAACUAUGGCAUCCUCCAGAAAACUUCAAACCAUCAACAAAUGGACCAAGAGAAUCCAAUAUUUCCUUGAAAUAAUACAAAAGAGGAAUAUACAUCAGCAGUCAUUUAAGCAUAACCACCCAGUGCCUGCAAAAACCAGUAAACAGCUAUUGAUAUGCUUUCCUACGGUGAACUGUACUUUACUCAGUUUCAAAAUUUCAUUACUGUCUAUGUCAAAUCCCCCGGGGUCUUAAAAAACAGCUGAGGACUAGUUAUUCCUUGCUGAAAUCAAAAUCCAAGGGAGUAAUAUACACUUUAUUGUGCCUCCAUCACAUACCAGAAACCUAGAUGCUGAAACUACUCAUAUGGUUUCAAUCCAAGCCCUAGUUUUAAUCUAUUAUAGAGACUAAUUAACAGUCACACGCGAAUUUCACCGAAACAAACACGCCGUAUUCGCAUUCCACGGAAACUGAAUCGCACUACCAACUACAAUACACCCAAUCCAGGCAUCCAGCUCGGCACAACACACCACCAAACGAAUCAGAGCAGAGCACACACAGCGCCCCAAACAAGAGGUGGAAGCUGUGAGCCGGCGGCGAACCUGGAGCGCCUGGUUUGCGGGGCGGAAGGAGUAGAAGGGGCUCCGCAUCUCCGUCACCCCGUAACGCCGCGGCUUCUCCGGCCGGUCAUCCUCCUCGUUGCCGUAGCCGUAGCCCCGCAGCGACAGAGCCACCACCUCCACCUCCUCUCGCCACCCCCUCAUCGUCGCCUUCGCCGUCCACUCUCUUGCUCAGUUGCUCUCUCUCUCUCUCUCUCUCUCUCUCUCUCUCUUGCUCGCUGUGGUGGUCGGACAGAACGGAUCGCUCGAGAAAAGGCACGGGAAGAAGGCAGUGGAAGCUCGCGGCUGCUUCUGGAAACGAGAGGGCGACGACGUGUCGUGGGGACCGCCGAAACCGAACAAGUGUCUGCGUCUCGACUCCUUUUAUCCAGUCUUUUUUUUAGCAGAACUCCUUUUAUCCAGUCUGAACCGGGCCUUUUUUCUUUGGGCCUGGCCCAUUAUCAUCCUGUCCAUGAAUACUAACCCUAUAUGCUAGAAAAGGGCCAACAACCCGGAACGUUUUGGUGUAAAAUCCCGGCCCAGUAUAUAGGGGUUAGUAUUCAUAGGCAGUUUGCAUGUCCAACAAUGGAUGAUUGAAAUAAGUUUACUCUCGGGUCCUGUAAUAGAGGCAUAAAGCUAGUGUCUGUUUGCUUCAUGAAAAAAAAAGUUAUGAGAGCAUUUGAAGUCUGAAAGAGUGCUUCAAAAACCCUAGUUUUUUAGUUGAUCUAUGGUGAUGUAAAGCAGUUCCGAAUAGUUUCUUAGAUCUUGACUCUAAGGGGGCUCACUUUGCUGGGUUUCACUUACUAAUUACUAUACACACCCUACAAAGGUGUUAGAAUCGAACUCAAAAGAAUUUUUACAAUGAUUUGUUCUUUGUUGAAAUGGAAAAGGAACUCAUCUUUUUUCAAUUGGCAACAUUCUAAUCCACCUUAAUCUAUAGUACAUUAGGUGAAAAACUAUUUGUUUUCCAUCCUAAUUUAAACAAAUACAUAUGGAUUGGAGUAGAUUAAGGUGUAGCCAAGCAUUGGUUUUACUUUAAUCCACCCCAAUACAUAUAGAUUACUGUGCAACCAAACAAACUCUUAAACAAGUUUGGCCCACCUCGAUCCCUUGGCUUCAAUAGACCUAGCUUGGAUAAAACAACGAAGCCCAAAAAAAUCACUCCAUCCUAAAACUAUUAUCUCGAUCUUUUUUACACAAAAAUGACCGGUAGCCCUAGCCCCAAAAAUGGGCCGAACCUUUGCCCAUGAGCAGGUUUGGGCACAUUAUCUAGUCCUAAAGGUAACUGGACUUUUUUUUGCCAUCUAGAAAAUACUCAGUUAUAUUUCUGAUUUGUUUGCAAUUGUUUUGCCAUUACAACAUCUUGAGUGUUUGGCAUGAAAGAUUCAAAUUCCAAAAGUAUCUUAUCGCCUCAUGGGUCAUGGCCUCGAUGGUACCUGGUUGUUCAUUGAGGACUUCACUGUACAAGUUAUGCUAGCAUUCCUAUUUAUAUUGUUCAAAGGACUUUUGUAGAAAAAUGAUAUCAUUGGAUGCAAAAGUUAAUGUGCUCAUGACUUUUUCUAUAAAUCGUCUUGUGACUGCUUUUUUAUGUUGAUUAUUGGUAAUAAAGUGUUCCCGAUGCUAGCUCAUCAUUACGCAAUGGAUACUAGUCUCUCAACAUCAACUUGUAUUGAAACAGAGUGGCACAUGGCGAGGAAACCAUAAAAACCCUAGAGGAGAUAUGAGGAGGCAAUAAAAACCUAGAGGAGAAUACUCUAGUUGUUUACUUGUGCCAUAUAUUCGUCCAACAUGAGUUAUGAUAGAUAUUUUUUUGCGACCAUGUCUAAACACAUUUUUCAUCAAGAGGGUAGUAAACAUAAGUAUAAAAAGGCAAGUCAUGGCUUACUAGAGAACAUAGGAAAACAACAAAAGAAACAAAUAUCCAAAGCGACUAAUUGACAAAAAUAGGAAUGGUUUCCAUUAUACAUCGAGAAUCGGCAACCAUUAUUACAUACAUCAAAUUCCGCUAUGAUAGAUAUUAUAAAUAUAUAAAAUCGGAACUGGUUUUCAUGAUAAAAAAAUAUAAAAAAUAAUAGUAGGAACCAAUUUCCGUUACUCGAAUGUUAAAAGAAACAACGUAGCAAAUUGCUUUUGUUACGACAUAUAUUGAAACCGACAACCAAAGCCAACUUUUGUCGUGAAAUAUAUAUCGAUCAAAAGUAUACAAAUAUAGAAACCGUCCGUUACGACCUAUAGAAAUGAACAACAUAUGAACAAACUUCCAUUAUGACAUUACUGAACAGACAAUAGAAACCGACUUUUGUUAGGGUUACCAAUUUUGGUAUAUGGGUUUUGUUCGUUGCAAACUUAACAUGCCACUUGUUCUCAUUGCACUUUUUCACCCCGAUUUUGCAUUAAGAAGUGUAUAUAGCUACAACACUAAGAGUUGCUAUAUUUAUGGUAUCUGAAUUUUCAGGCAAGAAUCUUAGACAACUAGCUAGUAUUUAAAAAUGACAACUCAUCACAAGAUAAUUAGAUUUUCUCUAUAGUCAAACAAUGAUAAAAUUAAAUAUUCAGUCUGUUCGAUUGAGCUUAUCUAUUAAAUCUAUCAGUCACUCAAUAAUAUUUUCUCAUAACAAAUCAGCGAACAAUAUUUUUUCAGUCAUGGAUUAUUAGUUAAGCGAACAGGCCAAUCUAAUCUAAUGAACAAUAAAAAGAUUACAUGUUAUCUUAUGGUCACGUGCCAGCAAGGAAGCAUAAGCCACAAUAUUUUGUUUUUAUCAAAAAGGAAAAAUCACGGUAGGUUUGGUGGAGACUGGAGAGUACAGCGGAAGCAUCACGUCUAAUUAAUUUAUAAUUAGAGAAUAAUUAUUAAAUAUAAACGAAAGUGUUACGGUAGUCAAAACUAAAAAAAAUUUCUACAACUGAACAAGGCCGCCUUAGGUCCUCGACUGACAAAGCGACAGCGCAGGAUAUCUUUUUGCUGAUGAUACGGUAUAUCUCUCUCACAUUUCUGAAUUCUAGGCCGCAGUCCACUCUUUUUUUUAAGAUAUAGAGCAACCGUUACUGGACUGACCAGUGUUUUUUUUUUAAAAAAAAGAUCUGUUCAAAGAUGGCUAACCUGUGUUCGUCCGCUUCUGUGCCUUCUGGUCCCUGGCGAGAGCACGCUGGCUGCGGCCUGCGGCCCUGUGGCAGAGGCGCACGCUCCAUGAUCGUCACGGAAGGAAAAUUCCAGCGGCGGCGACGCUCCUCCCUCCUCACUUGUUUACCCAUUACCAUUGCCGCCGGCUGCAUGUGCCGGUGGUGCAUGCAGCGACUGCGACGAUGACCUUCCAUGGUUGGCCUCCUCCUUAGGUUCUUCGAUCUCGUCUCAUGAUCUUGCUGGUGAAUCUUUGGCAAAUUCAUUUCAGACCAUUUAUUAAUUGUGCUCAGAUACGAUUUGCAAUCUCGCAUUGAAUGCAUCCUAUGUGUUUUGGCCGAUAAAUAGCUACCGAUGCCUCUCAGCACAGCAGCAGCUGCAGCAGCAAUCCGGCCAUCCACCGAGGUGAAGAAGGUAUUCCCGGAUCUGGUAGGCGGAGGAGAUCGAAGGAGAUGGCCAUUCUGUGGUGGACGGCGCUCAAGAGGUCCCUGAGCUGCAAGUCCCAGGGCUCCUGCGACGUGAUCAAGCGCGACGACCCCGACUCGCGCGGCGGCAGCGCCAGGGAAUUCAACCACAAGAAGCCGUCGUUCCUGCUGCAGCCGUCGUCGUUGUCGAUGCCGAGGUCCGGGUGCUCGCGCUCCAUCUCCAACCUGCGGGACGUGAUCCACAGCGCCAGGUUCCAGGCGCCACCGGCACCGGCCGCUCGCGCCAAGUGCGACAGCCCGAUGUCGGUGGAGAGCGGCGACGUCCUCAGCGCGGUGACGACGCACGACGUGCUGCUCGCCACCGGGUCCCGGCGCGACGUCCUUGUCGGCGCCGGCGCCGUCGCCUCCCCGGGCCUCGCCGCCUGGGACAUCGGCGCGGUGCCGCCGUUCGCGCACAGCCCGCUCCUGACGCGGUGCGCCACCGGCGCCCGUCUCUCCCAGAGGAAGUCACCGCUCCGCCUCGGAACAGGCGUCUACGGCGACGCCGGGUCGCCCCUUCCCGCCUGGGCCUCCUGCGUCGAGGUCGCCGUCCGGUGCAACCGCUGCGACGGCCUCUUCCCCAACGACAGCGCCCUGGAAUCGCAUCACCUCGUCUACCACGCCGGUAAGCGCCACCGUCAUCCAUAUAUACUUCUCUGAUCAGGAAGGAAUUCAGAGGCGUCGUGUUGCAUUUCAUGUCUGAUGACGGCUCCGGUUCUUGCGUACAGUCUCCGAGGUGGUCGACGGCGAGACGGCGAGCAAGGUGGUGGAGCUCAUAUACAGUGCCGGGUGGCCGAAUCCCGAGGCGGCGCUGGACCGCGUCGAGCGAGUCGUCAAGGUCCACAGCUUGGAGAGGCGGGUGGACCGGUUCAAGGAGUACAUGGAGGAGGUGAAGGGCAGGGCGGCGAAGCUGCCCAACAACAACAAGCACCCCCGCUGCGUCGCCGACGGCAACGAGCUGCUCCAGUUCCAUGGCACCACCGUGUCCUGCUCCCUCGGCGCCGGCGGCUCGCACAGCGUCUGCACGUCCAGCCUCUGCAACGUCUGCCGCAUCAUCCGCCACGGCUUCUCCAGGAACGGCGGCGUCGGCGUGUUCACCACCUCCACGAGCAAGCACGCGCUGGAUUGCCUGCAGGAGACCGGCGCCGCCGGCGGUGGCACUGGCGAGGAUGGGCCGGCCGACGGCGGCGUGAAGCACGCGUUGUUCGUGUGCAGGGUGAUCGCGGGGAGGAUCCACCGCCCGCUGGAGAAGCUGAGGCAGGACGCCGCCGUGCAGCCGGGGUUCGACUCGGUUGCCGGCCAGGUCGGCGGCGAUUCGAGCAUCGAGGAGCUGUACCUGCUCAACCCGAGCGCUCUUCUCCCGUGCUUCGUGGUCAUAUGUAAAGCUUAGAUCUUGCGGCUGGGUAUAGCGAUCAUAUCAUAGAGACAUAGCAAAAGAUUUAGAUCCAUCCUAGUAUAUUUUAUUUUGAUAUGAUUGUCGAUUAAAGUGGUUACAGUAGUUGCAGUUUUGUUCAUUAGUUCGCUGGAGAUCAUGUUUGUCCGCGGUUUGCACGAACAAGCAUGUCCUCUUUUUUCUUUGUAAGCUAUUUCAAUAGAGGUUUAAAAAGCGCGGGAAGUCAUUUAAAAAAAAAGCGCGGGAAGUUCCUACAAAUCGAAAACCGCAAAAGAACCCUAAUAUGCAAACAAAAACGACGUGUUCUCUUUGCUCUUUUUAGCAAUUUUAAUAUCGGCCUACAACCGCAGGAAGAUCAUACAAAUUGAACGCCACAAAAGAACCCUAAAAUACAAACAGAAAGGACAUGCUCUCUUUGUUCUUUUUAGCAAUUUCAAUAUCAGCUUAAAAGCACAGGAAGUUCCUACAAAUUGAAAACUACACAAGAACCCUAACACACAAACAAACAAACAAACAAACAAACAAAAAUAUGUUCUCUUUGCUCUUUUUUAGCAAUUUCAAUACCAGCUUAAAAGUGCGCGAAGUUCUGACAAAUCGAAACCCACAGAAGAACCCUAACAUACAAACAAAAAAAGGCAAGCUCCAUUUUCUGUUCUAUUUGCUCUUUUUAGCAAGUUUGAUAUUGGCUUAAAAGCGUGGUAAGCUCCUACAAAUCGAAAACGACAAAAGAACCCUAACAUACAAACAAAAAAAGGACAUGUUCUAUUUGCUCUUUUUAGCAAGUUCGAUAUUGGCUUAAAAAGUGGGAAGCUCCUAUAAAUUGAAAACGACAAAAGAACCCUAACAUACAAACAAAAAAAGGACAUGUUCUCUUUGCACUUUUUAGCAACUUCAGUAUCGGGCUAUCGGCUCAAAAGCGUGGGAAGCUCCUACAAUUUGAAAACCACAAAAAUACCCUAGCAUACAAGCAGAAAAGGACAUGUUCUUUUUGCUCUUUUUAACAAUUUCAAUAUCGGCUUAAAACCGCAGGAAGUUCCUACAAAUCGAAACCCACAAAAGAACCUCAAAAUACAAACAAAAAAUGCAAGUUCUCUUUGCUCUUUUUAGCAAUUUCAAUAUCGGCUUAAAAGUGCGGGAAGCUCUUACAAAUCGAAAACCACAAAAGAACCCUAACAUACAAACAAAAGGACAUGUUCUCUUUGUGCUUUUUAGUAAUUUCAUUAUCGGCUUAAAAAGUGUGGGGAGUUCCUACAAAUCGAAAAGCACAAAAGAAUCUUAAUAUUAAAUGCAUGGUUUUCCACAAAAUUCAUGUGCUUUAAGAUACACCCAAACAAAAAAAAAGAAUUAUGUUUUAUUUAUUUUCUCAUAUGUUUCUUCAAUAUAGUUUAAAAUGCUAGAGUUCCCAAGCAUUAAAAAAGCUGGAUAAAACUAUAAUCUAACAUCAAAUGAAUGGUUUGAUUUGUUUCCCACCAAUUUCAUGAAUUCGAGACACAAACAAAUACAUCUUUUUCUUUACUUUUUAAAUAUUUUUCUAACAGUUUAAAAUAUGGGAAGUUCCCAUGGUUUGAAAAAAAUAUAUAUACGAACGAUUUCCUGUGAAAGUUUCCUCACUUCAAACAUAUUCGUGUUCUUAAAUUUGACAAUAGCACAAAAGCAUAAGGGCCAUUAGGCCCAGGUAGCUUGCCAUGCUUGAGCCCAAGCCCAACCAUCCAAUCCCGGCCCUGCCUGCCUGCCUCCUCCAGUGCUAUCCUACACUGCUGAAAGCCUGAAGGUGCUCUGUCCUUCAGGCUGCUCCAGGAAUCCAUGGGCAAGGCACUGCGCGACACUAUCCUUCACCACGUCCUCGACGCCGUACCGGAACCUGAACCCAAGAUCCAGCAGCCUCCUCGACGAAACCACCGGCGGCGAGCACGAGGCGUCGUCGUCGAAGUCUCUGCUCAGCCUGCGCCACGACAGUCGCCAUUGCCGACGGUUAGAGACGACGCACACAGCAGCCGAUCAGAAAACGCACCUGAUGAUUGAAGAAGAAAAAAAAGAAAACCACUCGUGCCUGUCGCCAGGCCUGAACGGAGGGUAGCGCGAGGCGAGGAGCCGCGCGAGGUGCGCCGCCGAGUACCCGCCGGCGGCGCACAGGUACCGCCCCUCGGCGCGCGGCGCCUCCAUGAGCAAGACGUGCGCGUCGCACGCGUCCUGGACGUGCGCCAGCGGCACGCACCCGAACCGGGCGUGCACCGAGGCCAGCACCGCGUAGAGCUUCGGGUCACCUGCGCCGCGCCGGCGUUGUGGCGUCGUCAGAACGGCGAGAGCGUCAAGAACAGCGCUGGGGGGCUGCAACCUGUGAUGGAUCUGAUGUGGAGUUACCUGUGAUGGGUGACAGCAGGAGCUGGAUGCUCGUGGGGACGCUUGGCGUCAGGAACGGCCCGGCGACGGUGGGCAGGACGAGGGAGACGAGGUGGACGCCGUUCUCGCGCGCGAACCUGAACGCCGCCUCCUCGGUCAGCCGCUUGGACAGGAUGUAGAUCUGCUACAGAGAGUUCAGAUUUCAGAGAGAGAGCUGAUGAGAGGUCGACGAGGACGAAGCAGAUCACUGUGUGAAGCGAGAAGCUAGUGCACUACGCACCCAGCCGACGGGCUUGGUGCGCCAGACGUCGUCGAGGGAUCUGAGGCAGGACUCGUCGAGGACGGCCUUCCGCCGCCCCUCGGCGUCCGCCGCCGUCAACGUGCUGACGGAGGACGUGAAGACGACCCGGCGCACGGUCCCCGCGCGGACGCAGGAACGGAGCACGUUGAUGGUUCCCCUCGUCGCCGGCUCCAGCACACGUGACCUCACGUGCUCCUCUGAAACAGGCAACAUCACGGGAGGUUAAUUCAAUCCGACAAGUGUUAAGAAAAAAGUAACGUUAUACGUGGUACAUUUCCUGUUUUUAUUGACAUUCAGAAUUGGUUUAGUGACUAAUUUAUCUAUUAAUUUGUGAUGUAUUUUCUAGCUAAAUCAGUUGGACAGUUCAACUCAUUUAGCAGAAAAUCAUAAUACCUAGACUCCACAAAAACAAAUUUCUGCUGCCUCAAUUUAGAAGACAUGGACACAGCCAAAGUGCAAGUUCUUCGACUAGCUUCAUUUACAAAACAGAGUCCGGAUAUCUCAUCAUUUGGCGACUCAUGGUUGGACGGGCCUUUGUCAUCUUUCGCCAACCGACAUCCAUCUUUUCUAUAAUUGUUGUUUUAUUAGACUAUUUUUUUUUAUAGAUUAUCAUUUCACUACACGAUUGCAGAACGACACCGGGACAAUGCCUUAGGCGCUGUUUAGUUCCCUUGUUAAAUUUUAGCUAGCUAAACUUUAGUUACUUUAGUAGCUAAAGUUCCAAACACAUUGACUAAAAGAAGCUAAAAUAGUUUAGCUCCAUUAAUCACCUAAGAGUAGCUAAAAUAAUUUUAACUAGCUAAAAUUUAGCAAAGAGAAACCAAACGGGGCCUUAAUGAUACCAACCUUUUCCCAAGCAUUUGGGAGUUGGGACCACGAUAUCUGAUUAUUUAUCAGACCCAUGGUUUGACAAACUCAAAGAAUCCUUCCUUUAUCAUCUUCAGGGAUGGAGCUCAGUGGUGGCUGGGCUCUGGCCCCUGCUUGUCAGCGAUGAAUUAUAAAGAGCCAUCUAGGUUUAAUGUCCUAGCCUAUCAGUUAGAUAAAAUCUGACACAACAGAACCUAUUUGUCAUGAUGUUUAGCUACCUUCGUGUACGAAGUGAUGCUCAUGUGCGCAACAGUCCUACUAGCUCUUCAUAGGUCUACAUAACCAUAGAGUAAGAAGCCAGCAACAUAUCACCGGUACACACAACACUCAGUUCUCACUUUAGGCCUUGUUUAGAUGUGAAUGUGUUCAUCUCAAUUCAUAUGGGCUAAAGUGGAUUGGAGUGGAAUUAAACUAAGUUCUAUUAUGAUCCAUUCCAAGACAUGAUGCAUCUAAACAAGGUCUUAAGGAACCAUUGAGACACAUACUAAUGCUAGGAAAUCCUUGUUCUAAAUUGCUCUUAUUUUCCAUGAAGACACAGGCUGCAGUGUUUACUAUAGAAAAUUGGACAAUAAUAUUUACUAGUAUACUGCCCGUGCUAACGCUACGGUAAAAUUUGGAGCUAGGUCAACAUUCGGGUAUACACAAAUUAAAAUUGAAAUAUAUGCAAUCUAAACUAACCAAAUUAAUUAAAGAAGAAAAGGCAAAUAUAAUUUUUGUGAUUCGAACUUCUCCGCAUGAGGAACUUAAACACUACACAAUUCAUGCAAAUAUCAUAUUUGACAUUACCUAUUAUGAUGCAUACAUGCCAUGCCUAAAAAAUAUUCUAAAAAACAAAGAUAUAUUGUGAUAUACAUUCAACUUUAUUGAAAAAGGAUUAGAUAAGCCUACAUGAAUAACCUUGAUGUCAAAGUACUGAUUGUCAUCUUAUCUUAAAACAAUAAAAGAUUUCAGAUUACAAUCCAUCUAUCAGAGGCAACUAAACACAAAACCAAAGAUCAUUGCCGAUUCUAUUACACGAUUGCUAAAAUGAAUCACUUAUCAUACUCUAGUGAUCAAUCUAUUAGUCUUCUACACAUGGUAGACAAUGGUUUCUUGGUUAUUGAUAAAAUCCACUACCAAUCCAUGCAUAGGUGAGCUACCCUUGCAGCUUGUCACGACACAGAUGCCAUCCGAACACUGUUGUUAAACACGUGAAACAAAAAGAAGAAAAAAAGCAAGGGAAGUAGAAAGGAAUCUGACUUAACUAAAACAGGGAAGGUAAACUACAGCAGGUUAAAGAGGCUUUGCUAUAUCCUUCAAGUUGGAUUUGGGAGCGAACUGGCCAUCCUUGCAGCUUGUAGAAGGGCAAGAGAAGAUUUUCAAUAAAAAAAGAAAGAAUCCGCUAUAAGAUUUUAGCCAACAGCAUGCGGGCAUCUCAAAUCCUUUUUGUGGGUGGUCAAGGAAAUGCUAACUUUGGGAAUGCGAGAUUUAGAGGCAAAUCAAAGAUUCUAAUGAUCCAAGCAUGCAAUUUUACAAAAGACUAAAAUUUUGGGCAAAAAUAAGUAGAGGUUUUAGGCAAGUAGUACAAGUUAGCAUUACUGAAUUACACAAAAUAGAGGCUACUCGAUACAGUUGGCGUUGAUUUCAUCAGUAUAUAAAGAUGGACAUAUAUCAUUUUCUGAAUUAUGACAAUAGGCAACCUGUUUCAAUGGAUUAGUUCCUUGGGCUAAACAGACAAAGUCCCUGUCCUCCCAUGUGUUUUAAUGAUACUGUAAAAUGCAGAUGAAUGGAUCAAACAUUAGUACAACUUUCAAGAGAUUUUCUUUAACUGUCAUGGUGAAAAGCUCCCCACCUGAAUUUUAUUUCAUUGAUCUGUUUACAAGGAUUUUCAUCGGAUUGUAGCAUACAAAAUUUGUCAUCUUUCUUUUUUCUGUUUCUGGAGUUUUUAAUUUUCCCAUUACAGAAUGAGUUAGUUAUCUACAAAUAUUUAUAUGGCUUCAAACUCGUAACACAUUAAAGAUACAAGUAUUUCCAGUUGAGAAAGCAUAGCUUUGAAAGGUACCAGUGACAUUCAGCAUCUCCCAAGUAAGGCCCAAACUGAUUUGAUAUAAAAAGAAACCCACAUGGUAAGAAAAUAAACCAAACCUGAUCUUUAGAUUGAAGCAACAAAGCAAGCACACCUUGCACUUCUCUAGAAAAAUGAAUGAUUUUUCUUACUAUUGAUGUCAAGAAAACAAAUUGAAACAUGUUGAAACCUUAGUGUUUUUUUUUCAGAAAUCUUACGGUUGGGUCAAGUUAGUCACACUCCCGAGAUAGUCACGCUGUCCGUUGAAAUUAUUGUCUGAUAUCCACUUAGAUACCCGACAAGGGUGGGUAAGAUUAUUAGCUUUCACCUCCGAAGGAAGAGCAAAUUCACGUCGUGCUAUCUUAUUUUUACUAAAUUAUAAUUAUAAGAUUGUCAUGUUCUGUAGUUGGGACAAUGUCGAUUUUAGAUGACCACCGAAGUUGUUACUAAUGUAUCUGCAACUCAAACAUGGAUAGCAUUUUUCAGUUAUGUCAACGUUCGCUGCUGCAGUGAUUGCUAGACCUCACUCACUCGAUGGACUAUAUGGACAAGGAAAUAAUUACACAACGACAGGUAAGUUUUAAAUGAAACUAUGAGGAAUUGCCUACCAACCAAUUUUAUUCAGGUUUGAUAGCUCAAAAUCAACCCCAAUAAAGAAACAAGAAAUGCAACACCAUGCUAAAAGAAAAUGCCUUAAAAACAAUAAAUGGUUGGAAUGACAUGGAAUUUUUUACUGGAAUGCAUACAAAAAACUGACUGAGCCAUGACGUCAACUAUCAUAAUCCAAGUCAGUCAACUAUUGCAGACACUAAGCAUAACCACAAAAAGGCUCGGGCAUCAGGACACGACCUUAUCCCCAACCCCAAACAGCACGACACUCAUCUUCCCCAUUCCUAUCCCCCAAAGUCCUGCCAGGCCUUAGCUGAGACUACCUAAAUUGCUAGACUCUGUGAUGCACUGAACAACCAAGUCUGGACUCUAGAUCUUGGGCAUUUUUGCUUGAUGAGCACCCUCAGACAUGAAUCCUUCACACACUGUAGGUUGAGGCAAACAAGACUAUAAGAGUGCUUUGAGAAGAGGAGGAAGAAGGCAGGGGAAAUAGAACUGUGCAGAGGUAGAAUGGAGAGGGCGAGUAAUUACCAAGCCGAAGGGUAGUAGGCGUGCGAGGCAGGGGCCGCCCAUGCGCCGCGCUCCGCAGUUGCCGCCGGACGUCAGCUUGGCUUGCCGCCGUCAUAGGUUGGGAUUAGGAAGAUUGGCUGAAGGAAGUCGAGUGAGUUUUUUUUGGAAACCCGUGUGCCUACCUGCAUCCUGUGCGCAAGAGCCUCGAAGUCAUCGUCGUCGAUGCCGACCUUGUAGUCGGAGGCGGCGGCGACACCGCAGCUAGGGUUCAGAAGGAGUCCGGUGCCAGAGCGAGUCAGCGCACGCGGAGAUCCCACGCGGCCAGCUAUGGCGCAUCCUACGCGGUGGCCACGGAGCAAGUGGUGGCAAGGCGGUGGCAUAGGAGCAGCAGCAGGACGGCUGGGGACAUGGCGAGGGCCAACGGCCAGGGGUGGAUUAAGGAAACAAUAAAAAUGUUUAUGAUUCAUUCAUUUUUUUCUGAGAAGAAAAGAGCGAUGGGUGCCUAUGGCCCUGUGGGAUUCGAUCCCUGGUUGGUGGCGGCCGAGGGCCUGCGUUGAAGCGCAGGUGCGGGUGCGUUGAAGCCUUGGGAUAACGUUGGCCAUCCGAUCGAGUUGAAGCCUGCGAGGAUGAUUAUGAGCCGCAGAUUUUAAUGAUGUUGAAAUCUUGUGUACAUUUUUCUGACUCUCAGCGGGGGACGUUUUCCUUGGUGGACAUAGGAUAGUUUUGACUGGUCCAUUAUAGUAGAGAUUAGUUGAUUAGCCCUCUUGGUAUUCGGUCACGCUUCGCCGCUGUGUGCGAGAGACUCUUGUUUCCGGCUUAAAUCUAGCAUGUCACUUCAUCCUUUAUCUUCCCGACUACCUCAAUGGCCAAAGCAUUUUUCAUCUAAAAAAAAAUUCUUGUAUUAUGUUCUUCCCAUAACUCCAAUGAAACCAGGAUGGUCGAGGAUCUCAAACUUUUGAUUGGCGAAUUUGACAUGGAACCAUUGUAAUUUUCCCAAGUGGUUCUUGGUGACAACUCAGUUGCAAGCUAAAACUAGAUGAGAUCAUACAAUCUUUUUGCGAUGUGGGAAUGUGCAAAGAUACCUAAAGACCGGCCUCGAUCGAGAUCACAAAGCUACGUACUUGGAUCGAUUGACCUAGAGAGACCAGGUGCUUAGUUCCCCUUUCAUUCUAAAAAAUUCUGAAUUUUGAUCCAUCAUUUUAUAUAAUGGAACUAAACAUCAUGCAUUGUUUUUGGCAAAAUGAUUAUCAUUUUUCAUUUUAAAUUUUGGCCUCAAGAAAUAAAAAAAAGCCCAAAAGAGUCUGAAAAGGCCAUAAUGAGGGCAAUAAAUUUUACAUUUUGAAUAGAACUAAACAUAACUCUGAAAAUUUUAGCAUUUUAUAUUUUAAUUAUUCUAAAAUAGUUGAUAUUUUGCAUUUUGCAUUCCAAGGGAACUAAACAGCUAUGUAUGUUGGUCCAUCCAACCCUUGGCCGCCAUUUGUCCAAAAAUUCAAUGUACCUCGAGCCAUGCUUUGGCAUGAAGCAUGGAAGUUAUUUGACAAGUCUAUCAUGAGAACAAGACAUACGAGGAGAAGAUCACUUGACCUUAUCAGCUUAUCUGCUGGUCAUUUUCCGCGACCAUUUCGACGUACGGUCGAGACCCACAUGCAAGUGACCGAUGACUUCUGGAAGACUCACUAGCAUAUAUCAAAGAUGGAAUGCUUUGGCAAAGAAAACACGUCCUAUAUAUAUCCACAUAUAGGAAUUAUUAAUGUUUUUUUUUGAGAUUUAGGAAUUAUUAGUGUUGGUCCAAUUGACCCAGGGCUUUCCAUUGCCAAAAUUCUCUGCCAAUAUACCAUAGCGUAUUCAGGGUAAAAAUAGGGAGUCGCACACUGAGGCCUUAUAGUUCACACCAAAAACUAAAACCUUUUUAAGAUUCCUCAUCACAUUAAAUUUUGCGACAUAUGCAUAGAGUAUUAAAUACUCCCUCCAUACCCAUAAUUCUUGACGUUUAGGACAUGAUUGUGGUAACCAAGGAGUGAUUAAGUAGAGGUUAGUUUUCCAUGUCUACCCUUAAUAAAUAAGUUUGCGAGUUUUCUCUAUACAUAAAAAUAAACCAGUUCAGCUGGUUAGUGCAUAGACCCUAGAGUAUUGGGUCGCGAGUUCGAGCCCCGGUGGCCACUCAUUUUUUGCCCUGCGGCAGUGGGCGUGCAUGCGAGGCGGCAGGCGCGUUUCCCUGCGGCAGCGGGCGUGCAUGCGAGGCGGCAGGCGCGUUUCCCUGGGCAGCGCAUUGAAUGCUAGCAGCGCAGCAAGUGGUGGACAGCGUGGGUGGGCAGGGGUAAAAAAGUCCAUUAUGAGCCUUAUGUGGUCAGAACGUCAAGCUUUAUGAAAACACUUGAGUGGUCUAAAACGUCAACUAAAACAGGUAUGGAGGGAGUAUAAAUAAAAACAAAAGAUAAUUGCACAAUUUAUUUAUAAAUCACGAGAUGAAUCUUUUGAGCUUAGUUAGUCCAUGAUUGAACAAUAUUUGCCGAAUAAAAACGAAAGUGCUACAAAAUCCGAAACCAAAAUUUUUUUGAACUGAACAAGGCCUCAAAUUUUGGAACCGAUCCAUCAGAACUCGAUGAAAACGAAGCAAACACACAAGAUGCGACCGAUUCUUGUACUGUAUAUUCUUUUUUUACAUGUCAACUUUUUUCUUUGGCAUCUAUGCUUCACAUGUUUGGUUGAUAACUUAAGUCCAUAUCACAAAUGGAUAACUAAAUACUUUCUAUUAUAAAGUAUGGAGUAUUGUGUUUGUCAAAAAAAAGUAUGGAGUACUGGCGAAUGCAUACAAGAGAGUAUGGAUCGGUGGACUAGUAACUACUAACCACACAUUACUGGAAAACUAAAAAAACAGACAUCUGGAGAUCUCUCUUCCACCAACCAACACCCAGCCACCGGUGUGGCGGUGCUGUCUUGUUACUUUAGGUCGUUCAACAAUGACUAAAAACUUUUUAAGAUUCCUCGUCACAUCAAAUCUUGCAGCACCGUACAUGAAAUAUUAAUUAUUAAAUAUAGACGAAAAUAAAAACUAAGAAAUCAUAAAAUGAAUCUUUUAAGUCUAAUUAGUUUAUGAUUAAAUAAUAUUUGUCAAAAUGCUACAGUACCGAAAUGCAAAAAAAUUUCAUAACUGAAAAGGCCUUACUACCUCCGUCACUAAAAAAGUUUAUCGAUCGCAUCUAACUUUGCAUGUUCUUUGAGAACUAUUAGAGAAUCACGAGAUUUCAGAAGUAUUUUCAAAAACUAAUAUACAAACAAAACUUAUACGUUUUCAAACCCAAAUAACUUGAAAAUCAUCGACGUUUGUAGUUUUAAAGAUUUAUUUAAUCAUCAAAUCUUGUUCCUUUUUUAUGGAACAUCAAACCAAGUGUUUUUAUGUGCGGAGGGAGUAGCUAGAUUUUCAAUAAUAGCCGUGUAGGUAACCCGUUGGUGCAUGACUCGGAGCAUGCAUGCAUUUGUGUGGAUCACGCAGAAGGGAGGGAGAGAGAGUGAGCUAUAGCUAGGUGUCGACACAAGUUACAUGCAUGUAUGAUCACAAGUUGACACAUGCAACUCACCAACAAGGCUGUCGUGAUGGGCGGCGGGUGAUGAUACGUGGAGCUCCAUGGAGGCCGCGACGUGGAAGAGCGCCACGCAUCCCGUGACGGCGGCGUCGAAGCUCCCUUCCUCGCCCAUGUCCGCCCGGAACACACGGAGGAGGCGCCGGCGGCACCUGUCCCUCUCCCUCCCUUCUUCCACGGCGCCGAGCACCUGCCAGGCCUUGCCUGCAUGCAGCAUGCAUGCCAACCACCACCACCACCAUGGUCAGCUAGCUCAGCAGUCAAGAACACCGUACCUCACUAACUACACAAGCAAGGAAGGACACCAGCAUGCAUCCAUGACGGUGGCGUGUACAUGGAUAUAUAUAUAUAUACCUGUGUCCCUGGCGGUGGCGUGGACGCGGUAGCCUCGGCGCAGCAGGGUGCGGACGAGCCAGGAGCCGACGUAGCCCGUGGACCCCGUGACGCAGACCGCCGGCGGCGGAGGGUCGUCACCGCCAAUACCCGCGGUCUGCUGCUCCUCCUCCGGCGAGCCGCCGCCGACGCUGCCCAUAAUGGCACUACUGGCUAGCUGAUGCCUGGAGCAAGUAUAUGGUAGGAAGUGGAUCGGAUCGGAGGCGCUCUCUGGUCGUCUAUAAAUGGCGAAACCUUUGUGCGAGUUGUCGUUGUAGAGAAGUCCUAUCAUCAGUACUAUGUGCAAAGUUUACGUGUAUGUUGGGGAACACACGUACAGCAGCUGGCAGGCAGCCGGCUGUUACCAUGCCAUUUUCAAUUGACGCGAACAGCAGCACUAUAUGUGGUGGUUUUACAGGGACCAUGUACUGAUGUACCUACGUACGAUACUGAUCGAUCGGAUCCAUCCAUUUUUAUAUAUAUAGUAGUAGUAUAAGUAUAUGCAGUGAGCAGACGACGACAAGUCAAUGAUAUCAGGCAUAUGAUGAGUGAUGAGUCCUUUUUUUUUUCUUUCUGCGAAUAGUGAUGAGUCCAUUCUUCAUCGCCCCCGGUACGUCCGUAUCGCAGAGCACCGAAACUGAGUCCACGCGCACACAGAUGCCGGAGUGCCAGCUAGCUAGGUUCAUCGCAGCACACCGUUUGUUUACAGUCGUGCAGAGUUUAUCUUGGCACACAUCGAAGACGACGACGAGGCCCUCUCUUUUUUCUAUCGUGCGCUCACCUGGGUAUGGGUGCAAUCCACGUGCAGGCGGCCGGACCAGCCAGCUCUUACGAUAUAUUGCCUCUCCCUCUCACAAAUUAAAGUCGAUCGAUCAUCACGAGCGAGCACGGCGCCGCACCAUGCAUGCAUCCUCUCGCCGUCGCCGGCAGGCAAUCGCCAGCAGGGGCGGCCGUCGAGCGAAGCCGGCCGAGACCGCGCCGCGAUGCCUCUCGAUCCAUCGGCGCACCGCCACUCGUGUCUUCCCGAUCCAUCGAUCGAGCGUCGGCACAGUGCCGCCGGCGCCCGGCAGGUACAGUGUACUACGUAAUUAACGUACGGGCUGAUGACGCCGACGCCAAGAAAUAAUAAAAAGCACGUACUCCUAGCUCUUUUGUGUGCUGGUACUACGUACGUGGUGACGUGGACGUCGUCCGAUCCAGCUAGCACGCUUGCACUGCACAUAUAUAGACACGUAUGUAUCGUAUUCGUCCAGUUUUUUUUUCCUUCUGUUCUCUCUCUCGAGUCUCGGCGGCUCAGGCGGGUGCAGACGUGCUUACGUGUACGUGGUUGGAUUCCACGUACGGUCGUCGCCGGCGUGUCCCCUGGAGAAAAUUUUGUUGUUUCUCGGCACGUGCACGCGAGCGAUUCUACCUACGGCAGGCCGCCGGCGGCUUGCAUUAUUAGCUGGUGGAACACUACUUCCUGGUCGGCCACGGAGUAGGAGUACUCGCUAGGCGAGAGAGUAGUGACGCCUGCUAUAAAUACCACUACUGUCAGUUUAGACUUUCAGAUAAAUUUCCACUCGGCGAUCUCCUCUCGUUCACUUCGCUAAUAAGCCAUAAUAGAGUACUGUUUACUGAUUUAUUGUGGAAAAAAAACACUAUAAAUAUACUACGUCUAAAUAUCAAAUAAAAAUGAUCCUCCCCUCUAUCUGCAAAGAUGCAAUCCUGAGUUCUUCAUCGCGUGUCCAAGCAAAACAUAAUAAUUUCAGAGUACUGAGGCUACUCUCCGAAGUACCAGAGACAGCUUGGGCCGGGAUGCAGAGAGUUAUGCAAGCAUGCAGUAGAUUCCCAGGCUCCCGAUAGUGAUUUAACUAAAGGGCACAUAGGAACACAUGCGUCUUUUACCAUACUGCUUUUUCCUUGACAUCUAAGAGUUGCUUUCUUUAUCUAAAAAAAAUGCUAAAACGUCUUGAAUUUUGAUAUGGUUGGAGUAGUCCCAUAUAUUCAUCAUCGAAAAGUAAUGGAAAUUGACUGAAUUGGUACUGAGGUGGUUUGACUAAAAAAUACAAAAAUAUUGUAUACGUACUCAUCGUCUAGCUAAAUACUCUCUCCAUCUCAAAUUGUAAGUUAUUCCAAAAAUCUUGGAGAGUCAAACUUUUGUAAGUUUGACCAAAUUUAUAUGAUAAAAUAAUUAUUAUUAUAAUACUAACUAAGUAUCAUUAUAUUCUUCCUUAAUUAUAUUUUCAUAGUAUACUCACUUUAUGUUACAAAUUUUAGUAUUUUUCUCUAUAUUUUUGGUUAUACGUGAAAAUGCUUUGACUCUCCAAGAUUCUUGGAAUGACUUACAAUUUGAGAUGGAGGAAGUAGAUUGGAUGGAAUGCAUGAUCAAUACAACUACUAGAAAAACGUUGAUCAAAUCUGUCCCGACAUAGCAAAAACAUGCAAAGUCAUUUGUAACCUGUUAGCCCUAAUAAAUUUUAGCAUCAAUUUGGAUAUUUAGAUUUGUAUAAACUUUAAUAUGGACUAAAGAAAUUCUAGUAAAACAUCAACACGUGCAAGAACAAUUAUCUUAAUAGUAUGAUACUCUUUUAAAAUUUAGCAUGAAUCCUGAAGAAGCCACUUCAUUAAUCAAUUCAAGCAAUAUUCAUUUGACUCAUGCGUUAGAUCUAGGGAUAAGGUCCAAUAUUUACAUAUGGUUUAGCGUCAAUAUGGAUAUCUAUAUUUGAACAAUUUAAUCUGAACCAGAAAAAAUCUAGUACAACAACCACCACCACAACGGAACUAGAUGCAUAUUUUGGGAAGUGAGCAAAGAUUAGGCAGCAAGAACUAUUGGCAGAGGAAUGAUUGAUUAAGGUAUAUGAAUACAACAAGAACACCACCAACAACAAUAAUAAUGAUGGCACAAUACUCCUUUUUUCAAAUGGUAGUAGGAAUCAUGAAGAAGCCACUUCAUUAAUCAAUUCAAUUCCAUUCACUAGAUGAGAUAACCCAAGAGUCAAAUGGAUACCAACUGAAUUGGUUAAUAUUGUUGUUGGUUUUAUGCUAAAUUUUAAGAGAGGAGUAUUGUGUCAUCAUUAUCAUUAUUGUUGUUGGUAUUGUUGUUUUAGUAGAAAUCCUCUAGUCCACAUUAAAAUUGAAAGAAAUACAAAUAUCCAUAUCAAACAUAUAACCAUUUAGAUCCAUCCCUAGAUCUAACCCAUGAGUCAAAUGAGUAUUAAUUAACUGAAUUUAUUAAUGAAGUGACUUCUUUAGGAUUGAUGUUAAAAUUUUUAAAGAGAAGUAUUGUGCUAUCAUUAUCAUUAUAUUUGUUGUUGUUGUUUUGCUAGAAUUCCUUUGGUUUAUUUAAAAUUGGUAUGAAUAAGAAUAUCUAUAUUAACUCAAUGACAUAAAAAAAUAUCAAAUCUUUCGGAUGUUUAGACAUCAGGAUUCACCCUACAUUUGACCUAUGAGUCAAAUGAGUUGAAUAAAUAGUGGAUUUUUUAGGACUCAUGAUAAUUUUAGAGUAUUGUGCUAUCAUUAUCAUUAUCGUUGUUGUUUGACUAGAAUUCCUCUGGUCCAUAAUAAAAUUAAUAUGAAGAUAUUCAUACUGACACUAAACAAAUAUGAAUAUUGGAUCUUUCCAAUGUUUAAACAUGCGGAUCCAUCUCUAGAUCUAACCCAUGGGUCAAAUGAAUAUUAAUUGAAGCGAUUAAUGAAGUGGCAUCUUUAGAACUCAUGCUAUUUUUUUAGAGAAAAGUACCGUGCCAUCCAUUAUUAUUGUUGUUGGUGGUGUUGUAGCUGUAGAAUUGCUCUACUCCAUAUAUUCAAAAUCUAUAAUAAUUACUGAGAUGCAUGUAUGAUUACAAUAAUAAAUACACAUAGAUUUACUUUGUAAAAGAAAAAUCUUAUGGAUCCUGCAUCUAUCACAUAGUGCUUGAUGGUGGAGUAUAUAAUAAGAAUAGAGGCGUGAUAUUAUAUGAACAAGUUAAACCUAUACUUUAAUCAAUCAUUUUUUUUUCUGCCAAUAGUUUUUGCUGCCUAAUCUUUGCUUACUUCCCAUAAUCAGCAUCGAGUUCCAUUGCUAACACUACCACAUCACUUGAAGCUACAAUGGUGAGAGCUGCUGAGGUCGCAACGACCAUGGCGGCGACGCUAGUCGUCGUGGGCAUGGCGCUGUCCAUUGCGCCGGUGGCAAGCGCCAUCGACUACACCGAGCGGGACCUGGCGUCGGAGGAGUCGUUGUGGGCCCUAUACGAGCGCUGGUGCGCGCAUUACAACAUGGCGCGCGACCACGGCGAGAAGACCCGGCGGUUCGACCUGUUCAAGGAGAACGCGCGCCGCAUCUACGAGCACAACCACCAAGGCAACGCGACGUACACGCUGGGCCUCAACCGCUUCAGCGACAUGACCGACGAGGAGUUCAACCGCUCCCCAUACGGAGGUUGCUUGACUGCUCCCCGCAUGUCCGACGACGAGAUCGAGGAGCUCCACCACCACCACCACCAGCAGGAGGACGACGGGUCGUUCAACCUCACGCACGGCAGCGGCGGCGGCAAGCUCGGCGCCCCGCCGGCAGUGGACUGGCGUGGGAGGGCGGUGACGCGCGUGAAGGACCAGGGGCCGACGUGCGGGAGCUGCUGGGCGUUCUCGGCGAUCGCGGCGGUGGAGGGCAUCAACGCCAUCCGGACAAGGAACCUGGUGCCGCUGUCGGAGCAGCAGCUGGUGGACUGCGACAAGUUGAACCACGGCUGCAACGGCGGCUUGAUGACCACGGCCUUCAGCUUCGUCGUGAGAAACCGCGGCGUCGUGCCGGAGGGCGCGUACCCGUACAUGGGCAGGGAGGGGCGGUGCAAGCACGUCAUGGCCCCGCCGGUGACCAUCUACGGGUACCAGCGAGUGCCGCGGUUCGACGCGAACGCGCUGAUGAACGCGGUCGCGGCGCAGCCUGUGUCCGUGGCGAUCGAGGCCAGCUCCUUCGAGUUCCGACACUACCAAGGGGGCGUCUUCAACGGGAACUGCGGGGGCAGGCUGGGUCACGCGGCGACGGCGGUGGGGUACGGCGCCGACGCCGGCGGCCCGUUCUGGAUCGUCAAGAAUUCGUGGGGUCCUGGGUGGGGCGAGGGUGGGUACGUGCGCAUCAGCCGCAACACGCCCGUCAGGCAGGGGGUCUGCGGCAUCCUCACAGAAAAUUCAUACCCUGUGAAGCGUUAGGCAAACUUGCCGAUUUCGGUAGCUGUUCCGGUUUUGUUCGCUGGAAAUAAAAAGUUUUGGUAUCGGAUGAUACAAGUGAACCGUUUUCCAUUAAAUUAGACUAAAAAAACCAAUUACACAUAUUACGACUAUUUUAUUAAACAAAUCUUUAAGACUAAUUAGUCCAUGAUUCUAUAAUAAUGCUACAAUAAAUAUGUGAUAAUGAUACUACUCUCUGGCCUUGUUCACUUCACGAAAUUUUUUGGUUUUUGCUAUUAUAGCAUUUUCGUUUGUAUAUGAUAAUUAUUAUCAAAUUACGGAGUCACUAGAUUUAAAAGAUUCGUCUCGCAAAUUACAGAUAAACUGUACAAUUAGUUUUUAUUUUCGUCUAUAUUUAAUGUUAUAAAAUUCGAUGUAAUUAGAGAAUCUUAAAAAAAUUUUAAAACUAAACAAGGCCUCUAUCUCGUUCUCCACAUAUCCGAGGCCCACAUGUAUCAUUUAUUACUCGCCUCACCUUCCCACCGUUUGCCUGUCUUUGCCUCUUUCGCGCUCGACGGCGGCGCUGCUACUGCUGCUGUCGCUGGCGGCGGCGUUCAUGUCGAUCAUGUCGUACUGAGAGAGGAGCGAGGAGGAGGACACCCACCGUGCGUUCGUGGAGUGGGUGGCCAAGUGCAACAAGACCUACAACUCCACCGGCGAGGAGGAGCACGGGUAAGCGGUGUUCAAGGAAAACUUCCGCCGCUGCGGCCCCGUCCUCAACAUUUUCGGAGACUGGGGACCGACGAGGAGCUUAACGCAUGGCAAUCCGGGGAAGUACCCUCCGAAAACGACAGAUUAGCUGAGCAGCGGCGAAUUUUUUUUUUAUUUUUAGCCCAUUUUUAAAUCAAAUUUCAAUUUUAGACCGCUUUUGAAAAAAAUUCAAAACUAGGCCGUUUGGCCCCGCCACCAUGCAUGGCGGGGCAAAACCACUACACCCCGCCAUGCAUGGUGGCGGGGUUGAAGCGCCACGUGGCGCACGGAUGGGCGGGGCCGGCUGACGUGGACCCCGCCACCGUCCACGGCGGGUUACGGGGACCCCGCCACCGAUCAUGGCGGGUUGCAACCCCGCCGCGCAUCAUGGCGGGGUACGCCCGCGCCCUAUUUAGUCGGCCCAACGGCAUUCUCUUCUCAUUUCUCUCCCUCUCUCACCCCGAGUGUCUCUCUUUCUCUCCCUCUCUCACACCCGAGCUCCGCUCUUCUCCGGUGCCCCUCCGCGUCGUCCUUCACCUCCAUUGCCCCGCCUCGGCGCCCCUCUCCGCUGCGUAUUCCCCGCCUCGUCGUUCUUCACGGUUGUUUUUCCGGCCACCCCUCGUUUGGAUAAGAUAAAUUUCUUACAACCUUUACGUUUUCAUAGUUUAGAUAAGUUCAUUUGGUUAUUUUUAAUAUGUUUAGUAAAUCUCUUGUUACGUUACUUUGUUUAGUUAUGUGAUUUGUGUUGAAUUAUUUUCGCGUUUUUAGAUGGAGGACUCGUAUCGUGAGUCUAUUUGGCGAAAAAGGGUCGUCCUAGAGAGUUGUACCCCGAUGUGUCUUGCAAGGAUGCCCCCGUGCCUCCCGAGGAACCUAUUCCUAACUGUGAUUGUGGGCAUCCAGCACACGUGAGCCAGUUGAGACAUCCGGAUACUGCGGCACGUUGCUUCUAUACUUGUUAUAGUUAUAGCGUAAGUCACUGUGCCCUUUGAUUUUCGUAUUGGUUUUUUAUCUUUUUAUUCCCAAUGAGACAAUUGAAACUCUUUUGUAGCCCUACUUCCGGUGCUUUUUCUUCCAAUGGAUCGACGGGCCGGACAAGUUUGACCCAAGAAUUCUGCUUUUCUACCCCGGCGUUGAUCAUUGCAAACGUGAGUUGUUUACUCGCUGGGUUCCGCCCCCCCCUAACCCUCCUCCUAUGACGGAGGAAGAGAAGGCCGUCGCCUCUGCACGGCGGCUCGAGGAUCCUCCAAAGUGUCAUUGCGGAGAACAAGCCGUGAUAAAUCCACGGAAUGAACUAGAGUUCGUUUGUCCUCUGCGGCGUGAAGUAAGUUUUGAUUCAAUCUUAAAAUUUUAGUUGAUAUAUGUGUGUUCUAAUGUGUUCUUUUUGUAGGAUCGUGGUUUUCGAAAGUGCCGUUUCGCGGAGUGGAUCUAUGGUCCAAAGAGCCAUUGGCCAGAGCCUGAGAAGCAGGAGGAGGUUCCAGAGUGGAAGAAGAAGCGGAGGUCUAUUGCGCCUCCCGUGAUGUGCAAAUGUGGUGUUGAAGCUAGCUACAGCCUAAUUCCUUCAGGUCUUGGGAUUGGCCAUUUCUGUGGCCACAUGAUCGACUAUGAUGAGGUUUGCUAGGACUGUGCACAUUUAGUACUACUAUACUCAUAUAUUUGUUUUUGUACGCUAACUUUGUAUUCAUAUAUUUCCCGUAACAGAGCACUCAGAAAUGCAAAUGGGAAUCAUCUGAUGAUGUGUUUAAGUUCAAAGAUGACUAUAAGGCAAGAGUAGCAGUUCGCAAGACGAGAGGUUAUCCUGCAAACUACGUCACUGAUUUUGUGAAGGACCAUAAGAAGAAAAUGCUUGCAUUCGCCCAGGAGUUGCGUGUUCGUAACCCUGCGAGUAUUGCAUGGAAGAAGUGGUCCGAGGAGAGGGAAAAGGAGAUAGAGGAGUACCGUGCAAGGAAGGCUGAAGAGGAUGCAAGGAAGGCUGCGGAGGAGGCUGAGAGAGCUGAGAUGCAAUGCUUGAACGAUACUAUUGCCUCAUUAUGUGCUAGUGAGUCAUUUAAUUUUUGAAAGUGAAACUGUUAGUUUCUCUGAAAUGACUAUGUUAUUAAUUCUUUAAAUUUUGUACUUACAGAGAUUGGAUGCACCGGAAACUGGCAAGCAGAUGUGGGCCGUGCUAAGUACGCGGAGAAUAUGAUAUUAGGGCGGGACGCUGCAGUUGGUGGCACCGCUAGCCGUCCGAUUGUGGUCGAAGAGGAGGACGAGGCGGAGGAAGACGACGACACCGGAAGGAUAGGCGACCUCAUUCGUCUUGCCGAGGAAUUGGGGUACCCUCAGGACGAGCAUGACUAUGAAAUGGGAAGGAUAGGCGACCUACUUCGUCUUGCAGAGGAGGGUGAGGCGUCAGGACCGAUGCCUGUCGGUGCCUUAGAGGAGGAUGAGGCUGCAUACCACAACCAGAAGACAUCGGUCUAUGACUCAUGGUGGCCAACAGACAUGACCGAGGAAGAGGGACAGUUAUACUCUCAGGCGGCAGAAGAGGCGGAGGCAGCUUACUACGAGAGACAGGCUAGUGAGGCCAAGGCAGCGGAGGCGAGCAUGGGUAAGGAGGUUGUAGUGGACGAUUGGGAGUCCGAGGACGAGUUGCUUACGCAGUGGUGCACGCAGUUUGAUUGAUGUGGUAAUGUAUGUGAGUGGCUUAGGAAUGAGACUUUUGUACUUUGAAACUUGUCAUGUAAUAAUUUGUAUUCCGACGUAUUUCAAUUUGAUCACUCCUCGCCAAAGUCCACAGCUGUCAGAAUGUUUAACUAACAUAACAAUUUAAAAAGAUUUUGUAAUAUGUUUAACUAAUAUAACAUUUAAAAGUUUUGUUUCUUGCAUGUUUACUAGUUUUUUGUGUAAUAUUUAAAAAGAAAUAGAGGAAGUCACUUUGAGUAGUGCUAUGAAAGGUACAGGGGGUUGUGGCCAUUUUUUGGCUACCCCGCCAUGGGCCAUGGCGGGGUACCCCUAACCCGCCCCCAGCCAUGGCGGGGUAGCGAAAAAAUGGCAAGACCCUUUGCUGCACUGCCUUUGUUUGGUUUUUGGUUAACCGAUUGUUCGGGUUCGCAGCUGGUUUGGCAAGACAGAGAUUUUUACGUAAAUACCAAAGAUACUUUAGAACGAACAACUAAAAUAAUUCUCACUAAUGCUUAAAAAAGGCACAUCAAAUAUCUAGAAAUAUGUCACAGUUACCAACGUGCUGGAAAUAACAAUAUGUCACAGGUACUACAUGACAAGUCCCAACUGCUAAACAUGUCUAAUCUAAUCAUCGCCAGGGGUGUAGCGGUUUCGCGGCUUCCGUCGCCUCCUAGGAUUGGUAGGCACCACGUUGCUUGUCCACCCCACGUCCGUGCGGUCUCGCCGCUGCCUCUCUCGCUGCCGCCUAUGGACACGGUCCAUCUCCUGUGUGGACGAAGUACCCUGCAAACAAGUACCCUAAUGAGUAAUUUGCAAAUAUAGAAAAGUAAAAGCACAGUAUAGGCACCUGGUGCUCGACGUGUCUGUACUCCUCCUGUGUGUACUCCACCCCCUGUGUGUACUCCUCCGGUGUGUACUCCACGCCCUGUGUACCAAUAGGAGCACCGCCUAGCUGUGAGGUACCCAUCUCCUCGUGACCGGUGAACUCCCACUGUAACUCGUCGUCGUCGCCACUAGUCGUGGAGUACUGAAGGGCCUCGUCCUCAUCGUCCACGUCCGCUGGACCCUUCCCUGUGUACUGCGGAGUACGUACAGAGGAGGAAGCGGCCCUAGCCGAAGUAGCUCUGGUGGACAUCGAGGCCGUCUGGCUCCUAGACAACAUGGGGUGCAACGGAGGCUCAUAUGUCGUGUCUGCACAGCUCAGCUUAGCCGCUAACUUCUUGCAGCCCUUUUUGAUUUUCUGCAGGAUAAAAUGACAACAUGCAUUAUUCAUUUGUAAUUGCUUUGUAAUAAUGAAUUAUUUUUUCGAAAGUACCUUGACAAAGCUGCGAAGAGGGUUGCUCUUGUCGUCUCUAGUCCGGAACUGUUGCCUACUAGCUUCCUCGGAGUAGUUAGACAACUGUUGUGACUACAACAUCACACACAAUAUUAACUCGAUCAUUUGGACAACUGUUGUGCCAUAAACAUCAAAUAAUACAUGAAAGUCCAAGGUACUUACCACAUAUCUAUUUAAGGGGGCCCUAAGAACCUGUUUGUUAACCCUUUGCACCUCGUCGAACGCAUCGGCGAUGUCAUCCUCACCACCCUCAUAUGCAGGGGUGUUGUAAGUGCAUUAAGCCACUUAAUGUGUUUUGGAUGAUUGAAUGACAACCAUGACUAAAGGAACUAAUGAUCUUGCUAAGUGUGAAACAGGGAAANNNNNNNNNNNNNNNNNNNNNNNNNNNNNNNNNNNNNNNNNNNNNNNNNNNNNNNNNNNNNNNNNNNNNNNNNNNNNNNNNNNNNNNNNNNNNNNNNNNNUUUGUGUAAUAUUUAAAAAGAAAUAGAGGAAGUCACUUUGAGUAGUGCUAUGAAAGGUACAGGGGGUUGUGGCCAUUUUUUGGCUAACCCGCCCCCAGCCAUGGCGGGGUAGCGAAAAAAUGGCAAGACCCUUUGCUGCACUGCCUUUGUUUGGUUUUUGGUUAACCGAUUGUUCGGGUUCGCAGCUGGUUUGGCAAGACAGAGAUUUUUACGUAAAUACCAAAGAUACUUUAGAACGAACAACUAAAAUAAUUCUCACUAAUGCUUAAAAAAGGCACAUCAAAUAUCUAGAAAUAUGUCACAGUUACCAACGUGCUGGAAAUAACAAUAUGUCACAGGUACUACAUGACAAGUCCCAACUGCUAAACAUGUCUAAUCUAAUCAUCGCCAGGGGUGUAGCGGUUUCGCGGCUUCCGUCGCCUCCUAGGAUUGGUAGGCACCACGUUGCUUGUCCACCCCACGUCCGUGCGGUCUCGCCGCUGCCUCUCUCGCUGCCGCCUAUGGACACGGUCCAUCUCCUGUGUGGACGAAGUACCCUGCAAACAAGUACCCUAAUGAGUAAUUUGCAAAUAUAGAAAAGUAAAAGCACAGUAUAGGCACCUGGUGCUCGACGUGUCUGUACUCCUCCUGUGUGUACUCCACCCCCUGUGUGUACUCCUCCGGUGUGUACUCCACGCCCUGUGUACCAAUAGGAGCACCGCCUAGCUGUGAGGUACCCAUCUCCUCGUGACCGGUGAACUCCCACUGUAACUCGUCGUCGUCGCCACUAGUCGUGGAGUACUGAAGGGCCUCGUCCUCAUCGUCCACGUCCGCUGGACCCUUCCCUGUGUACUGCGGAGUACGUACAGAGGAGGAAGCGGCCCUAGCCGAAGUAGCUCUGGUGGACAUCGAGGCCGUCUGGCUCCUAGACAACAUGGGGUGCAACGGAGGCUCAUAUGUCGUGUCUGCACAGCUCAGCUUAGCCGCUAACUUCUUGCAGCCCUUUUUGAUUUUCUGCAGGAUAAAAUGACAACAUGCAUUAUUCAUUUGUAAUUGCUUUGUAAUAAUGAAUUAUUUUUUCGAAAGUACCUUGACAAAGCUGCGAAGAGGGUUGCUCUUGUCGUCUCUAGUCCGGAACUGUUGCCUACUAGCUUCCUCGGAGUAGUUAGACAACUGUUGUGACUACAACAUCACACACAAUAUUAACUCGAUCAUUUGGACAACUGUUGUGCCAUAAACAUCAAAUAAUACAUGAAAGUCCAAGGUACUUACCACAUAUCUAUUUAAGGGGGCCCUAAGAACCUGUUUGUUAACCCUUUGCACCUCGUCGAACGCAUCGGCGAUGUCAUCCUCACCACCCUCAUAUGCAGGGGUGUUGUAAGUGCAUUAAGCCACUUAAUGUGUUUUGGAUGAUUGAAUGACAACCAUGACUAAAGGAACUAAUGAUCUUGCUAAGUGUGAAACAGGGAAAAGCUAUCUCACAGUUAUGUGAUUCAAGUUUACAAAAGUCAAAAUUAUGUAUUGUUGUAUGAAGCAAUCUAGUUCAAGCACAAAACAACAAUGCAAAUGGAAUUAUUGAAAGAGGCUUAUUUAUCACUCAUAUGAAAGCAAAAAUGAAAAGUAUAAAAUUGAUUGGAUGAUUCAAAGCACAAUAUGACUCGAAGACUUGAGAUGGUGAAGAUAGCAAGGAAAGGCUUCGAGGUACUAAGCAAGGGUGAAGGGCAAGCGACGGCUUGACGACCGAAAAAAAACUUAGCUCGGGUGAAGAAGGAAUUACUUGCAUUUAGUUGAGGUACUAAUCAAGCUCUAAGGGUCAUGUUGAUGUGGAGGAUCAAAUCUACUAUUGAAGUAGUUAAUGGAAAUGACUUGGUACAUUUGGAGUCAAAUCUAUCUAUUGAAUGGAACCAAGUCAUGUGCUCAAGAUGGCUGUGCUCAAGAUGAAAACAAGUUUGACAUGAUGACAUCCUCAGCUUAUCAAGAAUUGAAAGAAAGGCUUUGGUUUGGUGGAAGCUUCUCAAGUGGUUUAAAUUUGAUUUAUCUUUUGUUCUUGAGUUGAUAGGAAAGCCGUACUAUUAAGAGGGAUGCAUCAUGAACAUGGAUUAAUACUCUCUAGUGCUCAAGUCAACCCUUGUGAGGCCUUAGAGGAACUAACCUGAGAGCUGAACUCUUUGUGCACAGGCCGUGCAUACCGGACGUGUCCGGUAUGAUACCGGACGCGUCCGGUAUGAGUACUGUUGCGCAUACUAACGUUUUGAGUUGCGGUGACCAGGGAGUUGUUCUGGAAGCGUGUCAGCACUUCCGGUGCGCGUCAGUAGUGCUGACUUGUCGGAAGUUCCAACGUACGUCGGGAGUUCCGACGUAGGCUUCUCUGUGGUUGGGAGUAGCAAGCUAACAGGGGUAAGUUUGUUGGCCUUGUUCAUAUCGGACGUGUCCGGUAUGAUACCGGACGCGUCCGGUAUGGCCAACGGCUAGUUAACGGCUAGUUUUGAAAAUUGUCUUUAUAUACCCCUCAGCCCUCUUCUUUUAGGGCUGCUGAUUCUACUGGCUUGGAGACACAUUGCUGAGCUUUGCUAACUCUCCACAACCCUCUCUUUGUGAGUGUUUGGUCUAGAUUGACAAAUCCAUCUUGUGGGUUGAAAGAUCUUCGGUUUUGAGAGCAAGCCACCACUUGAGCACUUGAGCAUAUUGUCUAUCUCGUGAUUUGCAUUUGUUACUCUUGGACUCUUCGGUCCUAGACGGUUAGGCAUCGCCGGAGAGCACCCAAGUGUUUGUGGUUGCCUCGGAUUGUUUGUGCAGGUCGGAUUUCACCUCCGCAAGGGAAGAAAUCAACUAGUGGAAGGAGGAGUUGGAGUUGGAAGAGACUCCGGCUAGAGUUACCUUCGCGGUAUCCUCUAGGGAGGACCUUUGAGCUAGAGUGACCUUAGUGGUAUCCUCUAGGUCAUCGAGUGCCUUACCCGUAGCCCCCUCAACGGAGAUUAGGUCUCUACGGAGACCGAACUUCGGUAAAACAAAUUUUGUGUCUCCCUUUGCAUUACAUUUAAAAUUUGUGUCUUAUUCUUUGUGUGAGCUUCUCUGCAGGGUUCAAGUUUCAUAUAUACUGUGAUUGAGGUUUUUGCAGGGAAAGGAAGAAGUUUCACAGCACAAGGAUUGAAUAUCCUCUGCUCGUGAAUUCCGGACGCGUCCAAGAUUAAGCCGGACGUGUCCGAGUUGUGCCAGCACAGCAGAAUAUAUUUAAUUUGUAUUAUCUGUGUUGGAUACCUUCUUGUAGGGUAUUGUAUAUCUUUACUCCAUCAUACAAGCUGUGUGUAGGUUUAGGAGAAGCUGGAGAACAGAAACAGCCAGGUGCUGUGUGCUCGUGUAUCUCGGACGUGUCCGAGUUGAUAUCGGACGCGUCCGGUAUUUGCGAGUUGUCAAUAAUAUUUCUUUGUGUGAUCUAAUCUCUGUGGUGCAGGUUUUAGACUUAGUUAAUAUUGUAUACAACUGGUUCUCUGAUUAUCUUUGUGUGGAGUCUUUCAUUUGCGUGGAAAACUCCAGUUCUAAUUGUUUCCGCAUUAUAAGUUGUAAAUUUUCAGAAACGCUUAUUCACCCCCCCCUCUAGGCGCAUCCUUGGUCCUUUCAAUUGGUAUCAGAGCAAGGUCUCACGAUCGAGCUUCACCGCUUGUGAGAAAAGGAUGUUGACGCCUAAUAACAUGGAUCCCAUACUUCUCCAAAAUGAUGGUUCAAACUUUCUAUCUUGGUCAAUUCAUGUACUCAAUACUUUUCGGACUAUCAGUCCACUUGUAGAGCAGAUUGUGGAUGCAAGUAUAUCUCAUUCCAUAGUCGAUUGGUUUAGUUAUAAGAAUAUUCCAAAAGAGGAAGAGAUAUAUGUGCAACUCAAUGCUCUAGCUACUAAUGUCAUUUUGAGUACAUUAAGUGUAGAGGUUCAGGAUGAAGCAAUUUUCAAUGGACAAACUCUUCCGUCAAGUGCUCAUGUCAUUUGGAUCAAGUUGUAUGAGUUAUAUGGAAAACCCAAUGACAAUGAGUGCUAUGUGUGGAAAAUAAAGGAUAGUAUGUCCACUAUACCUCACUGCAAUGAAGAAACAUCCAGCAACCUCAAGAAUGCAGAGCCGAAGCUGAUCAAUGCAAAUGCCGCAGUGCUAGCAGUGCAGCACAUACCGGACGUGUCCGAUAUGAUACCGUACGUGUCCGGUAUGGUUGUGGCAGCAGGACAGCAAGCAGAUCAAUGCAGCAAUAAUGCGCCUCAGUGGAGACCAAGUGAUGAGUCAACAAUAGAAUCCCAUGACUCUCAUCACUUGUGUCUCAUGGCCAAGAAGAGCAAGAAGAAGAAGAAGAAGAAACCAAGCAAAAGAAGGCUCAAGAGGAUGAUCAAAGAGAAAGUGAAAAUGAAGAUAGUCACAUGCUUGAUCAUCUUAGCAGCAAGGACAAGCUCAUGUUCAUGAAACUGAUAAAUGAGGAACAAGAUCAAAAAUUUCAUGAUCAAGACAAGUCCCUCAUAUCCAAGCUUGAAGAGCUAAAGGAAAUGAAUGAGAGGUAUGAAAAAUUGUCAAUUGAGCAUGAUUUUGUUACUAAUGCUCUUUCUAGUGUUGUUCAACUAGAAAAGGAAAACUUUGAGCUCAAGAAAAGGCUUGACAAGAUUUCAUGCAACUUCAACACUCUUCAAGUUGUGCAUGAGCAACUCAAAUGUUCACAUGAAAGCCUAGUAGAAUCACAUGCCAUGCUUGAGAUAGCGCAUGAGGUUGUUGUUACAAUGGUAAAAUCCUCUCAACCUCACACUCAUCCACUCACUAGCACUCCCUCUAAAUUAAAUAUUUCUUGUGCUAAUGAGUGUGCUUCUCAAGCUAGCCAAUCUUUGAUUGAGCAUGAUCCUAUGGAAAACCUUAGGCUCAAAGAAGAAGUAGAAAAAUUGAAGAAAGAUGUGAUUAGGUUGAAGGGUAAGGAGAAAGCACAACCUUCUCAAGAUAACCGUGAAAACAUGGUGAAGAAGCUUGAGAAGGGUUCAAAUCUUGCUUCCUCCAACAUACAACAAACUAACCACAUCACAAGCAAAGCAAUGUCAACCAAGAGCAAGAAACAUGGUAAAAGGUUAUGCUAUGGUUGCGGGGCAUAUGGGCACAUGAGAGAUAUGUGUCCAAACAAGAGUUGGGCCAACAAGUAUGAGGUGGCCGAGAAAAAGGCCUCUAGCAAGUUGGCAAACCAACUCAAGAUGGAUGAACCUAAAGCUAGCAUCAAGUGCAACAAAGUAAGCCACUUGAGCAAUACUUGCAAGGAUUUCAAGAGGACAAGAAACAAGGCUCAAGUUGCAACAAGAAGAUGUUAUGCAUGGAAUGAGGUUGGACACAUGAUAUAUGAGUGUCACAACAAACAAAACAAGGAUUGUAGCAACAAAGGUCGCAUUUGCUACAAUUGUAGAAGAAAGGGACAUCUAAGUUAUGAUUGUCCCAAAGGUAACAUGUCUAAAACAAAUGCAUAUGUUUCCAAUGAUAAGCUUAGGAGGACCUCAAAUGCAUCUAGUACUAGCCAAGCAAGGUAUUCACCACAUGCUAACACUAGAGCCACUUGGGUGCCUAAGCACAUUGCAACUAACUCUAUAGGACCCAACAAGAGUUGGGUACCAAAGUGUGCCUAAUCUGUGAUUGUAGGUACUUGGUGAAGAUGAAGGCUUCGGGGUGGUUGAGAAAGCAUAUCAUGUCUUUACAUUUGACACACUCAACCUAUCAACUUGUUCAUCAAUCUCCAAUAUGGAGUUGACCCAAAGCAAACUAAAUUGUCGUAUCAUUCACUUCAUCUUCAUCGUCGGUGAGAAGUACCUAAACCAAUUAGUUUAGUCACUUAUGCUUAAAAUUUCACAAAUAGCAAUAUUUGUGAUAUUUGAGAAAGUGACUAAGUAAAUAUGACCACAUACUUCCUUGUCAUUCGAUGCCACUAAAUGUCUCUCUAGUAGAGCAAUAUAUUCACCUAUGUGCAGGUCAAUUCAAAGGCAAAAGGAAUGGCGAGAAAACAAAUUGAUUAGUUUCUGUCCUGUGCAUGUCGGACGUGUCCGACAUUGGGUCGGACGUGUCCGGUAUUCUCAAGGCAGGAAUUUCUGUUGAAAAGCCCAUGAAAAGACCUGGGCUAGAAGUACUUUAGUAUUUAACCACUUUUGUUGUCCCAGGAUUGGUUCUACUCCCCAGAUCUUUUUUGUAGGGUUGUGGCUUAUGUCGGACGCGUCCGGCAUUGUCUCGGACGUGUCCGAAAUUUACGUGGCUGAAAUAACUUCGGUUUGCAGGCCAAGAAUUGAUCCUUGAACCUUAUUUAUUAUAAUUCUAUCAUAUUAAUGACCAUACUUCAAGUUACACUCAGUGGUAUUCAUAGGGGCUCAAGGCCAAGGUAUGGUUUCAUAUGAGCAUUGUAAGUGCAUGUAAGGUCCUUAUGCUAGAAUGUGCAUUUGAUUGACUUAAGAUAGAAUCUUUUCAAAAUCUCUAAUAGCAUGAGUAGGCUGAGUGGUUUGUGAAAACAAUUAAUUCUUGGUCUUUGUGGCCUAAUCAUGCUAAGUGUGGUUAUUGUUCUCCUUGGUUGAUUGACUGCCUAAUCACACUCGGCAUGAUUCUCUCAAGUCCUAAGUCACUCUUUUAUCUCUUCCUCACAUCUCUAAGACAUCAUAAGACUCAUGGACAUAAGACUGAGGAAAGAAUUCUUGAAGAAAUUUCAAAAAGAGAUUUGAAAUAUUUUGGAGUGCAAAAUGUGAAGAAAAGAGAUGUGAAAUGAUUGGAUUAAGUAAUUUAAAUAUACAUAUAUAUAUAUAUGUUUGGACUCAGUAUUAACAUAGAAGGGGUCUUGGAUCAAGAAAAAUAAGAAAUACAGCAAACUUUUGGAGCCCGAGCAUCUCGGACGCGUCCGGCCCCAUCUCGGACACGUCUGGUAUGCGCGGGGUUAAAGAAGCAGCGUACCCCUUCAGACCUGUUCUUCCCUCAUUCCCCUUUCUCCCUCCGAACCGCACAUUGCCACUUCUCUCUCAUCACCUUGGCGAUUUCGUGAGUUGUCCGUGGAAAAGGAAGGGAGGAAGGUGGAUUGGAGUCUCCAAGCAUCAAGAAUCAAGGAUCUGCAGCAAGAAAUCGAAGGCCCAAUUUUUCCUCCACUCUCACGGGGGAGAUCAUGACUAGAGACGGACGGAUUGAGCCAUGAACUAAGCACAAGAAUGAUCCCACAGCCAUGAGGUACUACAAAAGAACAAGGGAAGCUAGGAGAGCAGCUGGCAGCGGUAGUGGCAGUGGCAGUGGAGGUGGGAGGAGGAAAUCUGGCAGGCUUGCAGAUAGAGCACCAGCUGAUUAUGCAGAAGGUAGUGAUGAUGAUGAUUCUUCAUCUGCUUCAGAGUCAGAUCAGUUCAGAGUUGAGGCCAGAGGUGAGAUUGAGUCUGGGCAUGAGUCAGGCAAUGGUCAAGAGUCUGAGGAUAGUGAUGAAGACCAUGUGCAGACCCAGAAUGUACACCAGCACAGCAGCCAGGACAGGGAGGUGGACGUCACUUGGGGCAUCCUAGAGUCUAUGCUCCUAAUGUGCCAGAUUUUGUGCAGAGAGCAAAUUACAAGGGCACAGGGAUGACAAAGAGAGUGAAGACUCUUAGGAGUGAGGAUCCCAGUACUCAGCAGCAGGUGAUGUAUGACUACAGGUUUCGCACUCUGUUUUAGAUUGACUUUUACACCACUAUUAUUUUGAGUAGAAAUCCUGUGGUCAUCAAGUCUCAGUGGGCUAAGUGGAAGGAGUUGAAGGCUCACAAGAAGCCUUCACUUGAUAGGGCUGUUGAUAUUUGUGCACGGAUUGGUGCUAGUGAGAUCAUGUCUUUCAAGCAUGAUUGGAACACAGAGAUAGUGGCUCAGUUCUAUGCCACUUUGUAUGUUGAUUCAGAUAGGGUGAUGCACUGGAUGACAGCUGGUGAGUGUUUCAGUGUUGAGUAUGCAGCCUUUGCUGGAUAUCUUGGUUUUGAUGAGGAGGACCUUGCUAGAGACAAGAUUCAUGAUGAGAUUGUGACACCUCCAGAGAGGAUGGGUCAGCUCUACAUUCCAGGCUUUAGAGGAGCAAUUGUGGGGAAGGUGAAAGGUCUUUUCCCCACAUACAGAUACUUGGACAGGAUGUUCAGGAAGACCAUUGCCUGCAAGGUUGGAGACAAGGGCAAUGUGGGAGAUUAUAGUAGAAAUCUAUUGAUGAGGAUGUUGCCUGAUGUUAGACCAUUCAGUGUGUUUGUUUCAUUUGGAAUGAGAUCAAGUCAGUAGGUGAGAGACCAGUCAAGGGAUGUGGCUAUGCACCAUACAUCACUUAUAUGAUUCGACAGGUGACAGGCUACUCCUUUGAGUAUGACAAGCAGCACAAGGUUAUGAAGAUUGCUGCUGACUUGGCUGAGAUUGAUUUGUCACCUCCAGGAGCAGCAGGAGGAGGAGGUUCAGCAGCACACCCUACUCCACCUCGUGGUCCUUCCCGGUCUUCUUCACGUGGCCGUGCUCCUCCUUCUCCCAUUAGGAAGUUUUUCAGUGCUAUAUUUGGGAUGUGCAAGGACAUGAAUGCAAUCAAGACUAGACAGCACCAUGAGAGAGAAGCAAGGAGGAAGGAUACUCGUACUCUCAUGGAGCUUGCAUAGAAGAAUGAGCUUCCUACUCCUAGGUCUCCUAUUUCUGAUAGUGCUGCUAGUGAGCCUGAGACUUUUGAGCAGCAGCCGACUAGAUAUGAGAGAGAGUUUCAGCAGGAGUUUGGUGGAUACUCUCAGUCACAGCCGGUUCCACCAUAGGUACAGCAGGGUCAGACAGACCAGGGCGAGCAACCUGAGGCGCCUCUGCAGCAGCAGUCACAGGAGCACUGGUGGGACAGUUUUCUUUACUUUGGUGAGUCCUACGACUAUGACCACGGCUUCGGUGGUGCGGGGACCUCUAGUGGUUUUGGUGGCUAUGGCCAUCUAGGUGACCCAGGACAGAGUGGUUCUCGCCCACCAGGUACUUCUCGCUCUCCAGAUGAUGAUGAUGAUGAUGAUGAUGAUGACGAGUGAGAGACAGCCAGUUACAGCUUGCAGCCCUCCUAUGUCAUAUGCUUAUUCCCGUACAUUUUUUGGAGAUGGAUGACAAAGGGGGAGAGAUAUUGAUUAAAGCUUCAGAUGUUUUCAUGUUUGGCAUAUUCUGAGAUAUGUACUGCAGCUGUAGUGACUAUGAUGAGCUCUUUGAUGUAUGAGACUUGUUAUAUCAUCUUGUAUCAUGUUGAGUCUAUGUGAGAUAUUGAAUAAGACAUGAUCUUUAUCUUAGUGACUUGUGGACUUGGGAAAUCUAUGUGAUGUUUGCUAUGUGUGUUGGUUUAUAUUUUUCUUUAGAUUUCUAUUUUUGCAAGUGUGUUGCCAUGACUUUGUUGGUGUAUGUUUCAUAUUUUUUUCUUGUGUGAUUUAUACAUGUCAUGUGCAUCACGGUUAUAUUGUUCACACUCACUUGCACUGGAUGCAAUGAUUUAGGGGGAGCUUGACACUCACUUAAAAUGUGCAAAUUGACCUUUAUAGGUCUCAUUAUGAAUUCCACUCAUAUUGAACAUAUUAAGGGGGAGCUUCAAAUAAAUCAUUAAAGCCAAGAGCUUAAUUUCAUUAUCUUAUGUAAGCUUUAAUCAAGGUUGUCAUCAAUCACCAAAAAGGGGGAGAUUGUAAGUGCAUUAAGCCACUUAAUGUGUUUUGGAUGAUUGAAUGACAACCAUGAUUAAAGGAACUAAUGAUCUUGCUAAGUGUGAAACAGGGAAAAGCUAUCUCACAGUUAUGUGAUUCAAGUUUACAAAAGUCAAAAUUAUGUAUUGUUGUAUGAAGCAAUCUAGUUCAAGCACAAAACAACAAUGCAAAUGGAAUUAUUGAAAGAGGCUUAUUUAUUGUGAAGAUAGCUAUCACUCAUAUGAAAGCAAAAAUGAAAAGUAUAAAAUUGAUUGGAUGAUUCAAAGCACAAUAUGACUCGAAGACUUGAGAUGGUGAAGAUAGCAAGGAAAGGCUUCGAGGUACUAAGCAAGGGUGAAGGGCAAGCGACGGCUUGACGACCGAAAAAAACUUAGCUCGGGUGAAGAAGGAAUUACUUGCAUUUAGUUGAGGUACUAAUCAAGCUCUAAGGGUCAUGUUGAUGUGGAGGAUCAAAUCUACUAUUGAAGUAGUUAAUGGAAAUGACUUGGUACAUUUGGAGUCAAAUCUAUCUAUUGAAUGGAACCAAGUCAUGUGCUCAAGAUGGCUGUGCUCAAGAUGAAAACAAGUUUGACAUGAUGACAUCCUCAGCUUAUCAAGAAUUGAAAGAAAGGCUUUGGUUUGGUGGAAGCUUCUCAAGUGGUUUAAAUUUGAUUUAUCUUUUGUUCUUGAGUUGAUAGGAAAGCCGUACUAUUAAGAGGGAUGCAUCAUGAACAUGGAUUAAUACUCUCUAGUGCUCAAGUCAACCCUUGUGAGGCCUUAGAGGAACUAACCUGAGAGCUGAACUCUUUGUGCACAGGCCGUGCAUACCGGACGCGUCCGAUAUGAGUACUGUUGCGCAUACUAACUUUUUGAGUUGCGGUGACCAGGGAGUUGUUCUGGAAGCGCGUCAGCACUUCCGGUGCGCGUCAGUAGUGCUGACUUGUCGGAAGUUCCGACGUACGUCGGGAGUUCCGACGUAGGCUUCUCCGUGGUUGGGAGUAGCAAGCUAACAGGGGUAAGUUUGUUGGCCUCGUUCAUAUCGGACGUGUCCGGUAUGAUACCGGACGCGUCCGGUAUGGCCAACGGCUAGUUUUGAAAAUUGUCUUUAUAUACCCCUCAGCCCUCUUCUUUUAGGGCUGCUGAUUCUACUGGCUUGGAGACACAUUGCUGAGCUUUGCUAACUCUCCACAACCCUCUCUUUGUGAGUGUUUGGUCUAGAUUGACAAAUCCAUCUUGUGGGUUGAAAGAUCUUCGGUUUUGAGAGCAAGCCACCACUUGAGCACUUGAGCAUAUUGUCUAUCUCGUGAUUUGCAUUUGUUACUCUUGGACUCUUCGGUCCUAGACGGUUAGGCGUCGCCGGAGAGCACCCAAGUGUUUGUGGUUGCCUCGGAUUGUUUGUGCAGGUCGGAUUUCACCUCCGCAAGGGAAGAAAUCAACUAGUGGAAGGAGGAGUUGGAGUUGGAAGAGACUCCGGCUAGAGUUACCUUCGCGGUAUCCUCUAGGGAGGACCUUUGAGCUAGAGUGACCUUAGUGGUAUCCUCUAGGUCAUCGAGUGCCUUAACCGUAGCCCCCUCAACGGAGAUUAGGUCUCUACGGAGACCGAACUUCGGUAAAACAAAUUUUGUGUCUCCCUUUGCAUUACAUUUAAAAUUUGUGUCUUAUUCUUUGUGUGAGCUUCUCUGCAGGGUUCAAGUUUCAUAUAUACUGUGAUUGAGGUUUUUGCAGGGAAAGGAAGAAGUUUCACAGCACAAGGAUUGAAUAUCCUCUGCUCGUGAAUUCCGGACGCGUCCGAGAUUAAGCCGGACGUGUCCGAGUUGUGCCAGCACAGCAGAAUAUAUUUAAUUUGUAUUAUCUGUGUUGGAUACCUUCUUGUAGGGUAUUGUAUAUCUUUACUCCAUCAUACAAGCUGUGUGUAGGUUUAGGAGAAGCUGGAGAACAGAAACAACCAGGUGCUGUGUGCUCGUGUAUCUCGGACGUGUCCGAGUUGAUAUCAGACGCGUCCGGUAUUUGCGAGUUGUCAAUAAUAUUUCUUUGUGUGAUCUAAUCUCUGUGGUGCAGGUGUUAGACUUAGUUAAUAUUGUAUACGACUGGUUCUCUGAUUAUCUUUGUGUGGAGUCUUUCAUUUGCGUGGAAAACUCCAGUUCUAAUUGUUUCCGCAUUAUAAGUUGUAAAUUUUCAGAAACGCCUAUUCACCCCCCCCUCUAGGCGCAUCCUUGGUCCUUUCAGGUGUUGGUGUACGGAACCAUGAUAUGAGUCCUCGUACUCCGGUGCAGCCACUGUAGGUACUCCAUCCAUCUGGCCGGCUCGUGCGGUGGUAUUGAGUUGACGAGGGGAACCUGCCUGUGAUACCAAGUCUGCAAAUGUGCAUCGUUCCUGACCUCCCAAUCCUUUUGCGUGGACCGAAACCUGCGAUCGAUCCUGCAAAAAUAUAUUGCAUUAGCAAUGAGCCACUUAAUGGAAACAAACAAAGUGCCAUCAUACCUAUGCAGCUCAGCGUUUGUGGAAUACAGCGGUGGAAUCCCCUGCAGCCUCCCAAACUGUCUGUAACCCUGCAAGGGUAGUGCAUCUCGACCACGUGGAAGAAGAUCAGUGGGCCAUCGUAAAGCCAAUCGCUAUCCUCCUCCUCGCAGCGUGGACUAAGGUACCCCUCUAGCUCCCACCGAGACCACGGUGACCAUGUGACCUGCAAUAUUUGUAAACUUAUUUUUAGUAUUUCAAAAUAAAACGCAUUAAUAGUGCAUUUAGUACUAAAAGUGAAUUGAACUUACGUAGUUGUGUGUCAACACGUCUAGCUCUUCAGUGUACUGCCUGUACCUCCUGUCUGCUUCGCCCCUGACUACCUUAGCAUCUGACCACAGAAAAAGGGCGGUGGGUCCAACAUCUUCAGGCACCCAUACCUGCAAUUAACACAAACAUAAUGUCAUAAAUGCCUUAAGUGUUAUGAAGAAAUCAAAAUAGCAAAUGCACUUACAGGCAAACCCGGAGGUUUAGUGGGCCUUCCAACUGGAAAAUGCUCCCAAAUCCAAACCUGAAGUAGAUAUGAGCAACCACCUAGGUUUCCAUUCAAUGAUUGGCGACGACAGGCCUGGCAAAGCUGACGGUAUGUCCAUGCAAGCACCGCGCUACCCCAACUGUAGCCGGCAAUGUUGUCUAGUGGCUGCAUAAGGAUCCUCAGGAAAAUCCAGCUGAUGCUGUCUCCAGAGGAAUCAGGGAACAAGAAACCCCCCAAGAAGUGCCACAACCACACCUUUGCAUACAUCUCCACCUCAUGAUCUGGAGCAUCAGGCGGUGGUCCUGCACCAAAGUUCUGCGUAAUCCAAGACGUCGACACUCCUGAGGUUUUCCUGCAAUUACAAGUAAACAAAUAUUGUAUAAAUAUAGAUUUAUCUAAAAUGGUUGUAUUAGUAAUUUCAAUGGGACUCAAAUAUGAACUUACUUGGUGCCUUUAACUUCAGCAUCUGAUGGCCGCCUACCACAAAACUCCUGUACCAAGUCUAGCCAAGUAGACUCAUCGACGACCCCAGUCACCGGAUGACCAGACAAACUCAAACACAAUAUCAUCUUCACAUCCUGCAAUGUGAUAGUCAUUUCUCCACAAGGUGUGUGCAAGGUGUGCGUCUCUGGUCUCCACCUGCAUCGUUAUAAUGUUGUGUAUAUCAAUUAUUUGAAGGCACAUAUUUAACAAACAAAUUAAAUGUAAAAUGCUAUGUUACCUAUCAACAAAAGCAGUAAGAACUGCAGGGUCUAGAGUGGGAAGUCCACUGUUGUAGACCCGGACGAUCUCAAGAAAGCCUGCACGACGAAUGUACGGCGCGUAUCGCUCGUUCCAGCUGUGUACGUGGUGUGUGGGACCACGAAGCACACACAACGGCCUCUGCUGCUCCGACAAGGCCUUGGCCCGGUGGUCCUUGUCGUAGUCCGCCUCAAUGAGGCUAAAGCGGGGAUGAGGUGCCCGCGCCGCCAUCGUAGCCCGCCUGUUUCAAAAAUGAAAGAAACAACAUUAGUACAAUUAAUAACAUUAGUAAUAAGACAAAUGCAAGUAAAUUUGAUGACGAAUAACAUAAAUGCAUGUUUACUAAGAAUUUUGAUAAGCACAAAGAUUAAUAAACAACCUCUUGUCUACCCCUCCUAUGAAAUCUAGCGUUAUGACCAGGUUUCUUGCAAAUGCUGCAUAGGUUCUGCGCACGUUCUUCGUUGAAGUCACCGCCACCAUACAUGUUAUCGCCAUAACCUUUCAUAUUGUCCAUAUCGCCUUUCAGUCGCUUCUUCUUCCUCCUUCCUUUCCCUAUCUUUCUUAGGUCCGGAUAAGGCACGUAGUCCUCACCAUAAUAUGGAGGCCACUGCGACUCGUCAAGGUACGGCUCAAAGCUCUUCUCCCAAACAUUUUGGGUGUUGGCACGGAGAUACAAGGGUGACAUGUAUGGUUUAACUGUAUAGUCAAAACCUCUAAGCCGACAAGACGUAAUCAUGUGUGAGCAAGGGGCAUGCAUGAUCUGAGGUACGUUGCAACUGCAUUCUACUUUUUCAAGAUCCACACGGUACGUUCGCCCACCAAAUCGUUCGCCGCCAAGGUUUGUGCCCCCUCUAGCUCGUACGCUAAAAACAAGUCUAUCUCGUCCAUAGGCCUCGCCAACCUGUUGCUUGGACAACUCCUCAGCCUCCUGCAAAUAUUCAUGUGCAGCCUUCCCCCAUCUUCCAAGCUCCUCUUCAUUCCUCAGGGCUAGGCCAUACCGCGUAACAAAAUAUUCAUUACACUUCUUAAAAGAGAACUCAACAAUACCGGACACUGGUAGAGAUCGAACGCCUUUGAACACACGAUUGAAAGACUCAGAGGAGUUUGUUGUCAUUAUGCCAUACCGAAACCCAACCUCAUCAUAUGCUAAUGCCCACUUCGCUUUAUUUUCCAUCUGCUGAUCUAACCAUGCCUUGCCCGCUCGGUUCAUCAUCUUCUGUAGUUCCGCCAUUGUCUCCUUAAACUCAUGUUCCGUACAUUUAUUACAAAGUUCCUUUAACUUGUCUGCCACCUCCUUCUUUCGUUGACGGCGCCAGAAAUUAGCGGCAAAAUGCCUCAUGCACCAACGGUGCACUAGGGGUGGGUGCCCAUCAAUGUGUUCACCGGCAGCAUUAAGAAUUCCAAUGUGACGGUCCGAUAUCAAACAAAUGGUGCGAGAAGGACCAAGGACGUGAAGACGGAGCAGACGCAUGAACCAUGACCACGAAUCAUUGUUCUCCCCCUCUGCCAAAGCAAAAGCCAGUGGCACAAUUUGAUUCUCAGGGUCUACAGCAGUAGCCAUCAUCAAUGUACCUCUGUAUUUGCCAUUGAGGAAUGUGCCAUCAACUAGAACAACUGGCCGGCAAUACUGAAAUGCAUGCUUACACUGAUCAAAAUACCAGAACACACGGUACAGAAUAUGCCUCAACGGGUUCUGAAGAUAAAACCCUCCUGUGUAUACGAACCAUCUCAUGCCAGGGUUGAAGUGUUGCAUUGCACACAAAAUGCGUGGAACCCUGUUAUAGGCUUCCUCCCAACUACCCCACCUAAUUGCCAGGGCAAUUUGCUUUGCCCGCCAUGCCUUUCCAUAUGCUACCUCAUACCCAACAAAAGUGGCUAUGGUCUCCUGCAAGAAAGACACCGAUACGUCGUUGUCCGCAUCUACAAGACCCAAUAUACGGCGAGAAAGGUACCAAGCCGUCAACUGGGGAUGGUACCGUUUGCCCUUGUUAGUCUGGCAUCUGUGCGGCUGCUCCACUGAAGUUACCUUCCACUUCCCAUCACUCGACCGUUUCCGUGCAUUCAACUUCCACGUGCACGGGAACCCUGCCUUGCAUACUAUUUGAAAUUUUACCUCCUUGUCGGAAUGCCGAACCGUGUACGGCCUAUGAUGAUACACAGCAUAGUCCUGAAGGAACAACUUCAUCUCAGACAUCGUAUUGAAAAGCAUUCCCUUCCUGAGUAUUAAAUUUUCAUGGUUGUACAAUGAUUCCUUACAAAUCUGCAAACCCGUGUCACAAACCGCCAUAUGCGACAUGCUGACAUCCAUAUAAUUUGGAACACCGGUAAAGGGCAAGCCAGCCUCCCUCAGCUGUGUAAGCUCUGCCGAUGUAUAAGAGGGUGGUGCAACGUAAGGUUCCGCCACUCUAACCCGACCCCAUCCUUCAUAUUCCUCUCCAUCAACUGGAUACCCUGUGCCUAAAUUGCCCUGAGUCCUCGUUGCAUGAAGUACCUCAAGCGGAACUCCUGAGGGCAUGCCACGAACCGGUGCACACAUGUCAGGUGAACCUACUUCCUCACUAUCUGAUUCCUCAGAAUCAGAGCAAACAUCAUCACCAAUCAUUUCAUCCUCUGCCGCCUCAUUCUCCUCAUGUUCAAACUCGUCUACAUCAAAAUCAUUUCUUAUUUGACCAACUGGAGGAGAUUGAACCCGCUCCUGCGUCCAAUUACCAUCCAAGUCCAUACUCUCCAUAGUUUGUUGGACAUGCACACCACAAUCACCACCGUCGUCGAAGGACGGCUCCUCAUUCUCAACAGUCUCCAACACCAACUCAGCCAUUCCUACAUUCGAACCUUGGAUGACCCUAUUGUAUCGGGACCACUCAGCUUGGUUGCACAAGUCCAUCAUCACAUAGUGUGCCCUAUUCUUUCCAACAUCAAACCUACCCUUUAGUGUGAAACCAUCGCCAAACUUCAAACUCAAACGCUCACAUAGAUCACUGAAACUAGGGGGACCAUCAAACCAUUCCAAAUCCUCAGACAUAUCCUCAAACUGACAAUCCUCUCUCCUAACACAUCCUCCGUAGAAAACUCUUACACCGUAGUCCAUCUACAAAACGAUUUAAGUACAUUCCUCAUCAACUAACCAAUAUGGUACUAAUAAAUACUAAAUAACUAACUAAGUACAGUACUACCGAAUUUAUUAACUAUUUUACUAACUAAAUUACUAUAUAAUAAUAGUAACUAAUAACUAAUUAUUAAUUACUAAUCACUAAAUCUUAAUAUCUAAUUACUAAUUACUAGGUAACUUAUAUCUAAACACACUAAACAUUAUUAAAUAAUAAUAACUAAUCACUAAAUAACGCUACUAAUAUUUAAUAAUAAUAUUAACUAAAAACUAAUUACUAUAAAACUAAUAUCUAAACAAAGUUUAACUUUAACUAAUAAAAAUAACUAAUACAAAAUGUAAAAUAAUAAUACUAAAUAUGUAAUAAUAUGAGUUUAAAUAAAAAAAAUACCUUCACAACAAGGUGGCCGGAUGGGGCAGGGCGCGGAGGCCGGGCAGCAGCGGCGUGCCGCGGCGCUGCAGCGGGGCGCGGAGGCCGCGCGCGGCAGCGGCGGCGCGCCGCGGGGGCGGGACGCGGCCGUGCGCCCGGAGCGACGCGGCCGCGACGCGCGGCCGGGGGCUGGGGGCGUCCGCGUGAGGGCGUGCUCGGCGCGGGAGGACGUGCGCGGCAGGCGCGGGGGCGGGGUUGGGCGCGAGCGCGGCGGCGGCGCGGGCACGGCAGCGGGGCGGCGGGUGCGCGGGGUCGGCGUUAGGGUGUGGGCAAUGUGCGGGUCGGGCCCCGGUUUUUUUCUGACACGGGGUAACCCGCCACGAUGCGGGGCGGGGUGCGAACCCGCCAUGAUCCGCGGCGGAGAACCCCUACCCCGCCACCACCGACGGCGGGGUCCACGUCAGCCGGCCCCGCCUAUCCGGGCGCCACGUGGCGCUUCAACCCCGCCGCCAUGCAUGGCGGGGUGUAGUGGUUUUGCCCCGCCAUGCAUGGUGGCGGGGCCAAACGGCCUAGUUUUGAAAUUUUUUUCAAAAACAGCCUAAAAUUGAAAUUUGAUUUAAAAAUGGGCUAAAAAUAAAAAAAAUUCGCAGCGGCAGCAGGUAGUCCUUCCGCUGGUGGAAGAAGGGAGGGAUGCCCGAGGUGGAGCGGUUUUCAGGUAAUAUAAGCAUCUUCAGUUUAUUUUUUUAGUUAUUACUUCGUUGGGUAAAAGAAAGUAAUUUGUACAUGUUUGUUGAUUGCACACGUACCAUUUGGGGUUGCAGCAAUGGGAAAGAUUAACGAAAAUAGAGAUGUUGAUGCUUGAUUAACCAAAAUGUAUUGAUUUUAGUGGUUCAGUGCAUUAGUUUCAGUAUCCGGAUGAACAGAAGUAGAGGAUGUUUAUCUUCUACCUGCAGGCUGCAGGCCAAAUAUAUAUAAAAAAAAACCGCAGUUUCCUGUGCAUGUUUCAAUGGAGGAACCCAUUUUGUAAUGACUUGAUGUGUAUACAAAGAACCAUGUAUGCCAUCAUGGUUCAUGAGUGGUGGGUGGACAAGGGAACAGUUAAACAAGCACAGAGAGUCAGAGAGACAUAAUAAAAAUCUUAUUUUCAUCUUGGUAGACUACGUUAGCUGAUUAUACAACUAUAGUUAAACAAUAUUUAUCUGAUGAUUUUUAUUAAUCUCUGCAUAUGGUUAACCUAGGAAUUCUUUCUUAUUACUACAAAUGGUACUUACAUGGUUUUAUCAGAACUCGCUGUGUGUCUAGUCACUUACAUAAUUGAUUGAUUCUACUCAUUACUGAGUGAAGUAUGGCAUGGAAGACAAUCCAAGAGAGUUCGGUUUUAUGAUUAAUUGGUCUCUAAUAGAGAAAAAACAUACUUUUCAAGUAGCUUUACUUAGGUUUCUCUACAUGAUCAGAUCUUCUUCUUCUUAAGUCAGAAUUCCUUUGAGGCUGUGUAGCGACCGCGGAUCGAGUUUUGAAAUGAUAUGUAGCAGGAACGCUCGUGGUGAGUCAGGAGUUCAGAGGUUUUCUUGAUCUGCAGGAGAAGAAUUCUUUUUAAGUCAAAAUACCGGAGACUGGGCACCAUGGAUUUAGUUUUGAAAUAAUAUGUAACAGGAACAAUCGCAAAGCAAUGUUGAGAAUAUGGUCAGCUAUGUCCACUCCAACGAGUGAACUGAAUCGAAGAACACGUCCUUAUCCGUUUCUUGAUAUGUCAGCGGUUUGUCCAAGCCGCAAAGCACACACAAGUCUCAACGAGUCCUGUGCUGUAGCAGCCUUGCGCAAUGUUUGUGGAGUAUCUCAUGUUUCAUAAGUUCAUCCAAUGAAUUUUGAUGAAAUUAACCAAUUCCUCGUAUAUAUACUUCUUCCGUCUCAAAGGAAAUGUAAAUCUCAUUUUCCAAGAAAAGUAAAAAAAAUCUUCAAGUUUAACUAAAUUUACAGAAGAUAUUAUCCAUAAUUAGAUCUCUAAUUAAAUUUAUUAUAAAAAUAUAUUUUAUGACUAAUCUAUUACACAUUAUAAAUAUUAAUAUUUUGUUAUUUAUGUUUAGUCAAAAUUAAGAAUCUUUGACCUCUGAGGAUAUGAGGGUUGUAUUUUUCUUUGGAGAAGAAGGUAGUAUUGAUUAUUAGCUUAUGAGAAAUAAGAUGGUGAUACAUCAACUUAUUUUAUUUCACAAACCAAAUAUAAUAAAUGAGAAGUAAGAAAAUGAUAAAUCACAUUAUUCUUCGAACAAACACAUGGAUUGACUAUGAGACCAUUUGAUUUGAAACGUUUUUUUUUUUUGACAAGUAUUUGAUUUGAAACGUUGACUGUGAGAAUAUGAACCGAAGCGGGAACGGGACACGACAAAUCGGCAGACUCAGCUGUCACCGUUCUGGGCCCACGCUCCCCAUCUCGUCAGACGGUGGUGACCCACGGUCCAGAUCUACUUGCAUGUCCACAGCGUCAAGUCGUUGCGGAGAUGAGGAGGUCCACAGCUCUCAAGGCGGCGGCGGCGGCGGCGGCGCUGCUGGUGCUGCUCUCGCUGACGGCGGCGUACAUGUCGUACUGGGAGAGGAUGGAGGAGGAGAUCCACGGGAUGUUCAUGGAGUAUAAAGCCCGCUGCAACAAGACCUACAACUCCACCACCGGCGAGGAAGAGUACCGGUACGCGGUGUUCGAGGAAAACUUCCGCCGCGGCUACCGCGUCUCCGUCUGCAUCUUCGGCGACAUGACCAGCGAGGAGGUUAGCGCAUGGAAACCCGGCGCAUUACCCUUCGAAAAAGGCCGAAUUAUUAGGUGGCCAGCGGCAGCAGGUAGUCCUUCCGCCGGUGGAAGAAGGGAGCAAUGGCCGAGGUGAAGUGGUUUCCAGGUAAGCAAGCAUCUUCAGUUUAUUUUUUUAUUACUAUUACUUCGUUGGGUAAAAGAUAGUAAUUUUUUGUUACAAGUUGUUGAUUGCACACAUACCAUUUGCAGCAAUGGGAAAGAUUAACGAAAAUAGAGAUGUUGGGCUUGAUUAUAACCAAAAUGUAUCGAUUUUUUUAGUGGUUCAGUGCAUUAGUUUCAGUAUCCGGAUGAACAGAAGUAGAGGAUGUUUAUCUUCUACCUGCGGGCUGCUGGUCAGAUUAAAAAAAACGGCAGCUUACGGUGCAUGUUACAAUGGGGGAAUCCAUUUUGCAGUGGUUUGAUGUGUGUACAAAGAACCAUGUGUGCCAUCAUGGCUCAUCAGUGGUAGGGUGGACAGAGGAACAGUUAAACAAGUACAGAAUCUCAUUUUCAUUUUGGUAGAUUACGUUAGCUGAUUAUACAAUAUUGAAUAUUCUGUAGUUAAACCACAAGUAUGUGAUGAUUUUUAUGACCUCUAGAUACGAUUAGCCUAGAAUUCAUUAUUGUUACUACUGAUGGUACUUCAUGGUUUUAUCAGAACUCCUUGUGUGUCUAGUCACUUACAUAAUUGAGUGAUUCUACUCAUUACUGAGUGAAGUAUGCCACGGAAGACAAUCCAAGACAAUUCGGUUUUAUGAUGAUGAUUAUUAAUUGGUUUCUAAUAGAAAAACAUACUUUUCAAGUAGCUUUACUUUAGAUUUCUCUGCAUUUGGACUGAAAUAAGUUUAGCUGAAGAGGAAAAGACAGAAAAAAAAUACUGUGGUAAUGGUUGAUGAUCCGGUGCACUCAUAUUCGUUUUCAUGUGAUGGACGAUCUCAACAUUUUUAGAGAGAACCAUCUCAUUUGACAUGAUACCAAAUAUCCUCUUGAUUGCAUCGCCGGUGCUUGCUCUGCAUUGUCAUCACUGACAUAAUACCUCCCUGUUAAUUUAUUCAUUGCAUGUUUUUGUAUAGAUUCUCAUUCGUUACUUUUUAUAUCAGUUAUUGAGGGAAAUGAAGUCUUGAGAUAGCACCAUUCAUGGAGAGAUGAAGCAUAGGUGGACCUGAAUAUGGCUAUUGCAUGUAAUAAAUUUGAGUUGUAAAAUGUAUGCAUUUCCGGAGGAUGAAAUGAGAAAAAAAAAGGUAAAGUCCACUGUCGUUUUCUAAACUUGUGCUUUCAUGUUAUCUUGGUUCUUGAACUUACAAAAUUCUUAUAUAGAUACCUAACAGUAUAUACUGUUCGAUUCUCACUAUAGUUUCAUCGGGUCUCUUUGUUCGAGAUCAGAUUCUCAAGGCAAUUCGAACGAAAAUGAAUUUUAGAAGAAGCUACACUAGUGGCAUUCGAACUACAGUAGCAAUGUAGGCCUCGCAUCAUUCAACUUCACGGUGAGGCUGAGCCGCUGCACACCCUGGAGGUGAUGAUCAGCGACUCAGUGUCCUCCUGGUGUUCCUCAAUCUCCCUGUGGUGCCACGGUCUCUGUUCUUCGCCUGGUAAAAGUUUAGGAUUUUUUUAUUUUCCCAUUUUUUAGUUUCUUAUAUUUUCCCUUUAUAUUUGGUUGUGUUCUGUUGCGUCGAUCGGUACCUGAACCUUUUUUUUUUCUUUUUAUUCGAUAACGGGUUCCUGAAGCUAUAGGUAUCCAGCUUAAUUUCUUUCAUUUGGGUGUUUCUAAGACUUUUGUAUGCUUUCAACAAAAAUGUGUAAAAAAAAGAACUCAAGAGGUACAAGUGACGUCACAGGAACACUCGUAAUGCAGUGUUGAGAAUAUGGUCAGCUAAUAUCCUGUACGUCUGCUCCGACGGGUGAACUGAAUCGAAGAACACGUACUUGUCCGCGUCUUGACACGUCAGCGGUUCGUCCAGGCCGCACAUCACAGAUGUCUCGAUGAGUCCUGUGCCACAGCAGCCUUGCUCAACGUUCUCGAAUCCUGCAGCUCAUCGAUCGCAAACAAACAAAUUAAAACCCCAGUGUGUGUGUGUGUGUGUGUCAAUUCGAUCUAGAGCUGAUCCGAUGCAAGAAUCAGUGCACGCGUUGUGAAGAACUGAAGAUUAAUUAGAUUUUUGGAUCACUCACUCACCGUAGUCCGACGGAUUGGCGACGAUGUCAGCCACGACGCUGUACGUCUCCGCGUAGACCACCCGCGCGCCGGCGAGCUCGCCGUCGAGCCUCCUCACGACCUCCUGCAGCCCGGCGUUGAACGUCGCCGCCAGGCGGUUGUACUCCUCGUUGCAGUCGCCGGGGUCGUCGCGGUUGAGCGUCCUGGCGGCGGGGAUGCACCCGAACGGCGCGAGGCCGGUGAACUCCAUCUUGCGCGCGCCGAGGCCGUAGGCGUCGCGGACGGCAGCCUCGGCGAGGCCGACGAGGUACGCGGCGUACUCCGCCGGCGUGUACUGGGCUUGCCGGAGAGGGAAGGUGAAGUAGUUGACGAUGAAGUCGUUGGUGCCGAUGCUGAAGAUGUACACGGCCUCGGCGAUGAUGCCGUUCGCCGCGGUCUCCCCCUUUGCGAGCUGCAGUCUCGCCUUGUACUCCUUGAAGUACUCCAGCUGCUGGCUCAUGGGGAUAACUGACUGGAAUAAAUUCCAACAGGUUCCAAACAAUAGAGUAAUUAAGUUGUUGAAUAAUACGUAGUACUUCUUAGAAGAUUAUUUUAGGGUUACCAGAAGAAAGAAAAAACAAAAUUUUGUUAUGGCCAAAAUUUUGUUACCAAAUUGUGUGUGGCACGGGCUCGGGCUGGUGGAACGCGCGAGACAGUGGUGAGCAUGCAGCUGGUGGCGUGCGGGAGCAGUGCCGGUCAUGAGGAAGAAGAUAGCGAAGGGGGAGUAAGAAGAUGAUAGCUUGUAGGGCCCACACGUCAAUGGCAUGGGAGACAAGAGAGCAGAGGGGCACUUUGGGCAAUAAAGAAUACAAUGACAUGUGUGUGGGUCCAACAUAUGUCAUCCCAAACAUAUAAAGUGACAUAUAUUAGGUAGAACAAAAUUUAUAAUGACACGAUUUAAAAAAAGAUAAUGAACUACUAUAGUAUAUAUAUCUCCAAUCCACGAAAACCAUAUAUAAUGGCACCAAUGUAAUUAGUCCAAGAUUAAAUUGGGGUCUAGCUCCUAGCCUCCUGUCGCGCUCCAUAGUUGGCACGACACCGAGAGGUCGAAUGCCGAAGAGCGAAGACAGUUAGGGGUGCAAAGAGGUAACCUUUAGGUGCACCUCCAAACCUAUUUAGUUCAAAUAUUUGUACUACUUCUUAAUUUUUUUGGAGAAGUAGUAUAAAUAUUUGAACUAAAGAGGUUUAGAGGUGCACCUAAUCAUCACUCAUUUGCACCCCUAAAGACAGUGAUGGGAAAAUGCAAGAAAAAAAAUCCUUGCCCCCUUCGUGUGUGGGCUUGUAGUGGCGGUAGCUACAAAGAGCAUCGAGGAGCAUCGUGUGGGAAAAGGAUGCUUGCAGUUGCAGGAGAGGGGAGGCACGUGUAGAAAACUCCUACGUGGUCGUGUGGAUGGCGAGCUACAAUGACUCCAGGAUUCUACCGAGCGAAUAUGUUGAGAUAGCAGGUGGAAACGAGAAAGAAACCUAUUAGACUUGUUUUCUAGCGUAGAACCGCUAAAGCAAACUUGGUGCAGGGGGUGACGAGGCUGUAAGAGUUGCUCCUAGACACUUGGAUAAUCAACUAAACACAUAUUUUAAUUCUUCAAAGACCUAAUGAUGUGGCCCCUAUGUGUCGCAUGGUUAUCAUCCAGGCAUCUUAUUUCUUAGCCUAAGUUGAACUUUGACUUGGCUCCAAUCCAAACAUCUGCUUGUACUUUACCAACCUUUUGCCAUGGCAAAAUUGGCUUGUUUUACCUUAUAUCAACGUGAACCUAAUUACCUAACACAGCCAAGGUGCUAUAUAGAGCAGAGUCAAAAUAAAGUGACGACAGAAAUACAUCACUCUUGAGAGAGCAAAGGGGGUCCGUUGCCAUAUGUCAGUUUGUUGAACCAUUGUAUUUAUACGCUGGCUUAGUCAGUCCUAUGUAAACUUUGCGUCUUAUAUUUGCAAGGUGACGAGGAAACAGCAGCAUGGGCCACCAGUCAAAAUAAAGGAG